Molecule: long non-coding RNA, 83958 nt
Filed under: Vitis vinifera (wine grape)
Lineage: Eukaryota; Viridiplantae; Streptophyta; Magnoliopsida; Vitales; Vitaceae
Description: long non-coding RNA (VVIN_LNC003673)
Source: RNAcentral
GGUAGCAAGAAAGGAAUCCUUUCGUUGCCUCGAAUUUUCUCUUAAGCUUAAUCUAACUGUUUCGAUAAUUAAGUGUGAAGGUAUUUGGUAUCUUGUAUUUGCUUAUGCUUCAAAAGUUUUUAGUUUGCUAACUCUAUCCUAUAGUCUAGUUCAUUAAAUCUAUAGCCUUUAAUCUAAUUGGUUGAGCAUGAGCCAUAAACAUGGAUGCAGUUUAUCGAGAAAUCCUACUCCAAAAGAAAAAGAAAAAGAAAAAGAAAAAGAAAAAGAAAAAGAAAAAUUCCACAAGAAUAAUCUGCCAUACUCUCCUCAACAAGGUUAAAGAUCUUCUAUAAUUUUUUUAAUAAAUUUAGCUCUUGCUUAGGUAAAAAACUGACUUCCUUAUCAUCUAAAAUAAACCUAGAGGCCGUUACCAUUAGAGUUAUCCAAAAUUGUCCUUGUCCUUCUCUAUGGACAUUUAAUAGAGAACAAUCAAGGAAUCAUCAUCCACUAUAAGGUUCAUAAUGCUCAUGGAACACUUAUUUGGGACCUCGGGAGAUUGGGCUUUACGUUGAAAUGGCCAAGCUAAUGCCAAUUGUCUUAGAGUUGACAUGAACCAUGUUACUUAUGUGAUCUUUGGUUCUUUGGCCUUUUAACUGGUGGAACUUCUUUUAUUGGAUGAAGGAUCUUCUUAUGCCCAUUGUGUAUGAGCAUAUGCAUUUUUGUAGCCAUCAUGUUGAACCUUUCUAUAAAAAAGCCAAGUCUUCCAAGUUACAUGACCAUAGUUUUAAAAGGCUCAUGGCGCACCAAGGUGCAAAGUAGUCCUGGAGCUUGAGGCGCAAGGUGCACUUAAGGCGCAGGCUUUAGUGAAGUGAGGUGCAUCCUAAUUUACAUAUAUUUUUCCUCUAUUUUUUUCCUAUUUUUCCUCUUUUUCUUCAUCUUCUUCACUUCUCCACUGCACGGUUGAGGCUAGGGCAAAAUUUGGGAGAGUUGUCGGAUUGAAAACAACCAGAAAAGGGGACUGGAAGGGAAAACAGGGCCAAAAUGGCGUCGUUUUGGUCCUAAAAAUAAAAAAUAAAAAAUUAGGGCUUCUCUCUGCCCUCUGCAACCUGACUCCGGAGAAGAAGAGAAAGAGAAGGAGGUAGGGGAUCGAGGCGCACUUGUGGACCACGUCGCGCCUUGCGCACCUAAGCGUCGCCUUCGUGAAGGGGCGUCACGCCGCCCGGAGCCUAGGCGCACCUUUCACAACUAUGCAUAUGACUCACUUUUAUUGGUAAGACCUCACACCAUAUAGACUCUUUAAAGUCCUUACCAAAAAAGGAAUGUGACCAAGCAACAAAAGCUUAUUGGAAUUGAGGUGUCGUUAUCCUAUGCUAUUUGGAAUGGAUUUGAAUGUUUCUCUAUUUUAAUGUUAGCUUCUCAACAAGCUCUUGCAAAGCUAUGUUCCAAUUGCUACCUCCAUCAAUGAUCAUGGUACAUAACCACCGUUGGCAAGAGAUAUGUGUAUGGAAAAUGCUAGAAUCGCCAAUCUUCUUCUCUUUUCACCUUUGGGACAACUAACAAAGGUCACACUACAAGGCUAUGACCUUACGUCAUAUCAUCGUAAUAAUCACAUUUGUCACUAAGUUCAUCUUCAUUGUUGGUCUUUUCUUUUUUUGGAUGAUUUUCCAAUUUAGAUUUUGGUUUUUCAAAACAAAAGUGUAAACCUUUGCUUAGGUACACAUCAUAAUGAUCGUACCCACCACACUUAAAGCAAAAAGGAGUCUCACCUACCUUUUUGUCUCCAAUACUCGUGACGUUCUACCCUUAUUAGAGUCUCUAUUAGCCACAUUUGAAGCUUGUUGAUUAUUUUCCUUACCAUUCACAUGGUUAGAAGUUUGGGAAAUUGUUGUGCUAAGUGGUUUGCUUGUUGUUUGGUUGGAGAAAGUACUCCCAAUUUGUGACUUGGAUGUUUGGAAGCCUGAAACUUAAGCCCUUCUAUUUUAAGCGCUAGUUGAUAAACAUCAUCCAUGGUAUAAGUGUAUGCAAUUAUCCACUCAAGUUGAAUAUCCAUUUGUAGUCUAGCGUUAUAAAGGGCUGUAAGUUGAGCCUCACUUUCUCGCACUUGAUUCCAAAUGCUCAAUUCAUGGAAGUUUUUUGUAUGUUCUUCAACUCAAUACCUUGUUUGAGAGAAAACAAAUUUUGUGUUCGUAGUCAAUUGGGAGAAAGUGCUCCUUCAUCUUCAACUUCAUCUCGUCCCAUGUAUCUAUAGGUGGUUGUCUUGUUCUACAAAGUUGAUUCUUAAUAUUAUGCCACCAUAGACAUGUUGCUCCUUUCAACUUUGCCUUCACAAUACGAAUUUUUCUAUUUUCGGGCAUAGCAUAUCAACAAAGUAUUCUUCCAUUGACAUAAUCCAAUCAAGAAAAGCUGUUGGAUUUAACUUUCCAUAAAAUUUAGCAAUUUCAAGGUGUACCUUUUUUUUUGUCAAAUCUCAUCUUGAAUAAAUAGUUUGCCCCUUCUUUGAUUUCCCAUCAUCAAAUUGCCUUCUUCAUGUGGUCUACUAGGCGAUUGUUUGAAUUCAUGACUUGCAAUCUUAUCUUCAAUUGGUCGUUUUUCUUGGCUCUUUUGUAGUAACUUCAUGAUCUCAUCAAGUUUGCUAUUUAAUUGUAUUAUAGCAUUUUGAUAGGAUUGUUGUGUGGCAGAGAUUUUCUCUAAGUGUGUUACUUACAAAAAAAAAAAAAAAAAAAAGAAGAUGUCCUCUAUGUGUGUUGUAGCAAUAUCUUGAUUUCUAGAAGUAUUUUUUGAACUCAUGCUUGCAUAAGUUACUUCACUCCUCAAUUGCACAGACCUUCACACCAAGGACUUUUAAUCUAAUACCAAAAAUGAUGUAGGACAACCUUAGGAUGAUUGCCUACAAUUAAAUAGGUGGGCUAGGGUUUUUAUUUUUUAGGUUUAAGGAAAGGAACAAGGGAUAAAGUUUAUGGUAGAGAAAAAUAAAAUAAAAAAUAUAGAGAAGGAAGAUACAAAGAAUAAGAGAUAGAAACCUUAGAGUUUCACUAAGAUCUUUUAGGCAUCUCAUUUAAAAAAAAAUCAAUAGUUUGACAAUUGAGAAUUGCAAUACUUGCAAAAAAACUAAUAUUAUAUAAUCACCAAUUAAUUCUUUGGUUUAUAUCACUUAACUUUAUUUAUAGGUUUCUCUAAGAAAUUUAUAGUUUAUUAAGAUUUUAAUAACCUAUUAUGAAUCUAAUUCUAAUUCUCCUAUAACCUAAUUAGUUACUCUUAAUUUGACUCUAAUGAAUACUAAUCUUAAUUUAAUUUCAAUUAAUACUAAUCCUAAUUUAAUUCCAACCAAUGCCCAUCCUUAUCAAGGGGUUAAUUUGAAACCAUUCAUCUUCUUUAAAAUGCUCCUUACAAUGUUAAACCUUGAACUAUUUCAGAAAGGUUAAACUAAAAAGAUCCAAUAACUCCACCUAGAAUUCCUUUCUAAGUGUGACAUUAUUGGGACCAUGCACUGAAGUAAGUUGAAAGACCAUAAAUUUCCAAACCUCUAAAAAGAGAGAUGAGAGAGAGCGAGGACGAUCAUGUAAGCGAAGGCGGAGAAGGGGAAAGCCGGGCGGAGAAUCGAGGGAAGAGGAAGGGAAGUAGAUUCGUGGUGGAAUCGAAGGUGUUCGAAGUAGAAGCUGAGGAGAGGAAUGGCAAGAGCCAUGCCAUUAUCUCGGAAAGCAAGGGAGGGUUAGUGUCUUGGGUCCGUCUGGGGCUGGCGAGUGUGGGACUGUUCAUAGAAGGGCUGAUCCAGUGCACGAAGGAUGGGAAAGAUGGAAGAUGGGAGAAGGGCUGGAAAGAAAAAGGGAGGAUCUAUUCCCUGGUGAGAGAGGCUAAUAGGGUCGGGAGCUUCAUCCGCCUAGGGGUGACGGACCUGGAGAAAAGGAGAUUUGGUAUCUGUAUACCAAAAGGGAAAGGGGAAAAAGGAGGAUGGGUUUCUAUGGUGGAGUCCUUACUGAGGGUAGGAUUUCGGCGCGAGGAAAAGGAAGUUGAUCGAGGAGUAAGGGUUUUUGGUAGGUCGUAUGUGGAAGUGGCCAGGGGCUCAGAGCUCAGGGAUACUUCAAGGGUCAGAGUAGAGACAAAGGAGGAGGAAAUAAGGAACAAUGUGAGCAUAUUGAAGCAAUGCCUGAUAGGUAAUUGGAACCCUAAAUCAGCACGAGAAGAGGACCUAGCGAGAUUGGGGUGGUCAGUGGCAAGAGCGUGGGGAUUGAAAGGUAAAUUAGGCCUGGCUAGACUGGGAAAGGGCUAUGCUCUGUUGGAAUUUGAGACGGUGGAAGAAGCCAAGAGGGUUCUCGCCUCGGGGGUGAGAUCAGUGGGAGGGACCCAACUGGGUUUGGAGAUGUGGAGCCCGAGGUUUGGAUGCUCUGCAGAGGAUGAAGAUAGGAAAGAAGCUUGGGUGAGGAUCCUGGGUCUUCCAAUCUCGCUGUGGGUGCCGUCGAUCUUGAGGAGAGUGGUGGAAGAGUGCAGUGGGUUCCUAGGCAUCGAUCCUCUAACGGAAAGGAAAGAGGACUUGGAAUGGGCAAGGAUCCAGGUAAAGCUGAAUGGAGGGGCCUUGCCGAGUUCGAUGGAGAUUGGGGUGGAGGGGGAGGUAUACGUCGUAUCUUUGUGGUGGGAGAUUCCGCCGGCAAUAAGGAAAAAACAGGGGGAUGGCCGUGAUGAAUUUGGGCAGCAGAGAGGGGAGGUUAGGGGUGAUGGUGAUCCACGCGCGGGAUGGCGUGUGGGAGAAAAGCCGGGCGUUGGACCCAAGGAACAACGUCGGUCAGAGGAAGUGACAGGAGAGCAGGUGGAAGGGGAGGGUGGGGUUGGGUUUGAAAACUGGACCCAUCUCGGGCAGGUGACCCGACAGAGUUCUAGAUCCGCGGGCGAUGGGUCGAGUUCAUCCGGAUCAGGGCUUGGCCCCGUGGGCCUGAAGCGGGACUAUGGGCCAACUACGCAAGGCCCGCUUCUUUCUAAAGGGGUUGAAUUGGCUGCAGAUGGGAUAGAGCGUGGGCCGGCUGAGGGACGGGCCUCCGAAGGGCUGGAGCUCCUGUCCCAUGGGCCUACUAUUUCGGUUGGGGGCUAUCUGGGCCAAUUGCAGACUAAAUACAUGGGCAUAGUGUCACAAGCUGAUCCAAAUGAGCCUCCCCAUGACCUUAUAUAGAGCUAGGAAGCUUCUGGAGACUCCUAGAGUGGGAAGAGUGUGGAAGGUUCUAGAGAAGUCUGGAGGAAUCCACACAAUUCUACACCAUGGUAGAAGGCACGAGAGGAGUCCGGGGCUUUCUAGAGAAAUCUAGAAGACUCUUGUAUAUACUUGUAUAUAGGCUUGUACCUAGAAUGAUGUAGGACAUUCUAGAAUAGUCUUGAGUUGUAAGGAACCCUCCAAGGUUCUAGAGAGUUCCAUUGGUGCCUAUAAAUAGGUGAGGGCCUCAUUUGGCCAAGGCACCAAACAAGUGAGCAUCCAAGCACUUGUAAAUGCUUUCUUGAGUUAAUAAGAGUUUCCAUUCUUUAAGGAGUUGCCUACUAAGCUCUUAAGCUUUCGAGUCACGAGUGUCUUAGCUGAGCAAGCUAAGCGUUGGGGAUCAAGGCUGACUUAGCAAGAUCAAGCGUCUUGACUUGCCUAAGUGCCGCACGAGCUUAGUGAACGACUAAGUCCGUGACAAGUGGUAUCAGAGCGUGGCUACGAAGCGGGCAUAACGGAAGCAUGUCGGGCUCUAACGUGGAGGAGACUAGCGAACAAACCCGUGGGAGGGAGGCCGAGCCUACUGCAAGGGGCAGGGGCAGAGGUAAGAAGGAUACAUCUCGUGAUGUUGUUGCCAACAUGGAGGCAAGGUUAGCCAAGGUGGAGCUAGCCAUGGCAGACACCCGGGAAGGGGUGGACUUGAUCGAGCAAGGCAUGGAGAAGGGCUUAGAGGAUCUAAGGGAGCAGAUCCAAGACCUUCGCGAAGGGGUGCUGGUCUCGCAAGUUCAGUCGGUGUCACACGAGGAGUUCAUGUCCUUCCAAGACAAGGUCAUGAGCAUGUUCGCUAGUGUGGAGUCAAGGAUGGAGGCCUUGACUGCACGAGUGGAGGCCCGAGACCAAGAGAUUCGACAAGAGUUGACCAUCUAUAAGAUCGCUGUAUCAGCACGAGUCAUGGCCACUCAUGAGGCACCAAGGGUGGAGGUGCCCAAGCCACACACGUUCAAUGGCAAGAGGGAUGCCAAGGAGCUAGAUAACUUCUUGUGGCACAUAGAGCAUUACUUUGAGGCAAUUGCAUUGACGGAUGAAGCCACUAAGGUACGCACCGCGACCCUUUACCUCACUGAUAAUGCUACUCUAUGGUGGCGUCGACGAUUUGCCGACAUAGAGAGAGGGACGUGCACCAUAGACACAUGGGAUGCCUUUAAGAAAGAAAUCAAGAGGCAAUUCUAUCCCGAAGACGUGGCUUACCUAGCAAGGAAGAGUUUGAAGCGUCUCAAGCACACGGGCUCGAUCCGUGAGUAUGUCAAAGAAUUCUCUACUCUUAUGCUUGAGAUACCUAACAUGGCUGAGGAGGAGCUACUGUUCAACUUCAUGGACAACUUGCAAAGCUGGGCCGAGCAAGAGUUGAGGAGACGUGGUGUCUAAGACUUAGCCACGGCCAUGGCAGUAGCCGAGUCCUUAGUAGAUUAUAGAAGGGGAGACUCCUCCAAGCCCAAGUCACCAUCCAAGGGUAACCAGGCCAAAGGUGGGGGAGACAAGAGGUCGCAGGGCCACACUCCUAAGGAAGGAUCAAGCAAAGGCCCUAGUGGCAAGGAUGACAAAGGCAAAGACAAGCGAAAGGAGUUCACGCCCAGGACCAAUUGCUUCUUGUGUGAUGGUCCGCACUGGGCACGAGACUGCCCUAAGAGGAAGGCUUUAAAUGCUAUGAUCGAGGAAAAUGAGCAGGAGGGCGAUGCUAAAGUGGGAUCGUUGCAGCUCCUAAAUGCCCUUAAGGCCAAGCCGAUGCCUAAAACGCCUCAAAGCAAAGGGCUGAUGUAUGUGGAGGCCCUUGUGAAUGGAAGGCCACCAAGGCCCUGGUGGACACAGGUGCCACUCACAACUUUGUCUCGGAGGAUGAGGCAAGAAGGUUGGAGCUCCAAGCAUCCAAGGAAGGAGGAUGACUCAAGGCAGUCAAUUCAGCCGCUAAGCCAUCACAUGGAGUAGCUCGCGGGGUGACUAUGCACAUCGGCUCGUGGGAAGGAAGGGUCGACUUCACAGUGGCACCCAUGGACGACUUCAAGAUGGUGCUAGGAAUGGACUUCCUACAGAAGGUCAAGGCCGUGCCACUACCUUUCCUACGCUCAAUGGCUAUCCUAGAGGAGGAGAAGCCGUGCAUGGUCCCUACGGUCAAUGAAGGUACGCUCAAGACCCCUAUGCUAUCCGCUAUGCAAGUAAAGAAGGGGUUAAAGAAGGAAGAGGUGACCUACCUCGCCACCCUGAAGGAAGAGAAGGAUGAUGGGUCGGGAGAACCCAUGCCUAAGGAAAUUGAGGGGGUCCUUGAUGAAUUCAAGGACGUAAUGUUGCCCGAGUUACCUAAGAGACUUCCUCCUAGGAGAGAGGAAGAUCAUAAGCUUGAGUUGGAGCCGGGAGCCAAGCCCCCUGCUAUGGGGCCAUAUAGGAUGGCACCACCCGAGUUGGAGGAGCUAAGGAGACAACUCAAGGAGUUGCUGGAUGCGGGGUUCAUCCAACCAUCCAAGGCUCCCUAUGGCGCGCCGGUUCUAUUUCAGAAGAAGCAUGAUGGGUCCCUACGAAUGUGCAUAGAUUACCGGGCACUCAACAAGGUGACGGUGAAGAACAAGUAUCCCAUCCCGCUCAUUGCUGACUUGUUCGAUCAACUUGGAAGGGCAAGGUACUUCACGAAGCUGGACUUAAGGUCAGGCUACUACCAAGUCAGGAUUGCGGAGGGAGAUGAGCCGAAGACUACAUGUGUGACCAGGUAUGGCUCAUAUGAGUUCUUAGUGAUGCCUUUCGGACUCACCAAUGCCCCAGCAACGUUUUGCACCCUCAUGAACAAGAUCUUCCACCCAUACUUGGACAAGUUUGUGGUGGUGUACUUGGAUGACAUAGUCAUCUAUAGUAACACUCUAAAGGAGCAUGAAGAGCACUUGAGGAAGGUCUUUAAGAUCUUGAGGCAUAACAAGCUAUACGUGAAGAAGGAGAAGUGCUCGUUUGCUAAGGAAGAAGUGAGCUUCCUAGGGCAUCGCAUCAGAGAUGGCAAACUAAUGAUGGAUGAUAGCAAGGUGAAAGCCAUCCAGGAGUGGGAUCCACCAACCAAGAAGAAUAAGGCAUCGGAAUGGGAUGAAAGGUGCCAACAAGCCUUUGAGGACCUGAAGAAGGCUGUGACUGAAGAGCCAGUGUUGGCACUACCCGACCACACCAAGGUCUUUGAGGUACACACAGAUGCCUCAGACUUCGCUAUUAGGGGAGUCCUUAUGCAAGAAAGGCACCCAAUCGCAUUUGAGAGUCGCAAGCUAAACGACGCAGAGAGGCGUUACACGGUGCAAGAAAAGGAGAUGACCGCUAUCGUCCACUGCUUGCGCACUUGGAGGCAUUAUCUGCUAGGGUCUCACUUCAUAGUGAAGACCGACAAUGUGGCCACUAGCUACUUCCAGACGCAGAAGAAGCUGAGUCCUAAACAAGCUAGGUGGCAAGACUUCCUGGCCGAGUUCGACUAUACGCUGGAGUAUAAGCCGGGAAGUACUAAUCAUGUGGCCGACGCCCUAAGCCGCAAAGCCGAGCUAGCGUCUAUGACGAGUCAACCCCAAGGAGACAUAAUAGAUCUUCUAAGGGAAGGAUUGCAACAUGAUCCAGUGGCUAAGAGCCUCAUCGCCCUGGCUCAUGAAGGGAAGACCAAGCGGUUUUGGGUGGAGGACGGCUCACUCUACACAAAAGGGAGACGACUCUACGUGCCUAAGUGGGGGAACAUAAGGCGGAACCUGAUUAAGGAGUGUCAUGACACCAAGUGGGCAGGGCACCCUGGGCAACGACGCACUAGGGCACUACUCGAGUCGGCUUACUAUUGGCCUCAGAUACGGGACGAGGUUGAGGCCUAUGUGAGGACUUGUCUUGUGUGCCAACAAGACAAGGUGGAAUAGCGACAACCUAGAGGCCUGUUAGAGCCACUACCUGUAGUAGAACGUCCAUGGGACAACAUCACCAUGGACUUCAUCAUCGGGCUACCUAAGUCGGAGGACAGCGGCUCUAUCAUAGUGGUGGUGGACAGGUUCUCUAAGUAUGAAACUUUCAUAGCAGCCCCGACCGACUGCACUGCGGAAGAGACGGCGAGGCUAUUCCUAAAACACGUAGUCAAGUAUUGGGGGUUGCCUAAGUUCAUCAUCAGUGAUCGCGAUCCGCGCUUCACUGGGAAGUUUUGGACGGAGCUCUUCAAGCUUAUGGGUUCGGAGCUUCACUUCUCCACAAGCUUUCACCCAUAGACGGAUGGGCAGACUGAGAGGGUGAAUGCCUUACUGGAGCUCUACCUAAGGCACUUCGUAAGUGCCAACCAGAAGGAUUGGGCCAAGUUACUAGACAUAGCCCAGUUCUCAUACAACCUGCAAAGGAGUGAGGCGACCAAUAAGAGCCCGUUCGAGCUAGCUACGGGACAACAACCGUUAACUCCUCACACCCUAACAAUUGGCUACACGGGGAGAAGUCUAGCGGCUUUCAAGUUCGCGAAAGGGUGGCAUGAGCAAGCUGACAUAGCCCGUUCAUACUUGGACAAGGCCGCUAAGAAAAUGAAGAAGUGGGCUGACAAGAAGCGACGACACACGGAGUACAAGGUCGGAGACAUGGUACUUGUCAAGCUCCUUCCUCAACAAUUCAAGUCCCUAAGGCCGAUGCAUAAGGGCCUUGUAAGGAGGUAUGAAGGACCCUUCCCCAUACUUGGGAAGGUCGGCAAGGUGUCCUAUAGAGUCGAGCUGCCCCCGAGGUUGAAGAUUCAUCCUGUCUUCCACGCAAGCUACUUGAAGCCCUAUCACGAAGACAAGGAUGAUCCAAGUCGAGGGUUGUCUAAAAGGGCACCUACAGCGGUCGUGACCUCCUAUGACAAGGAGGUAGAACACGUCCUCGCAGACCGGGUCAUCAGGAGACGAGGGGUACCUCCUGCUACGGAAUACUUAGUGAAAUGGAAGGGACUACCAGAAAGUGAGGCUAGCUGGGAGCCAGUAGAGGCACUAUGGCAGUUCCAAGAACAGAUCGAGCAGUUCCGAGCAGAAGGCGUGACGAGGACGUCUGCGGCAUAGGUGGGGGAGAGUGUCACAAGCUGAUCCAAAUGAGCCUUCCCAUGGCCUUAUAUAGAGCCAGGAAGCUUCUGGAGACUCCUAGAGUGGGAAGAGUGUGGAAGGUUUUAGAGAAGUCUGGAGGAAUCCACACAAUUCUACACCAUGGUAGAAGGCACGAGAGGAGUCCGGGGCUUUCUAGAGAAAUCUAGAAGACUCUUGUAUAUACUUGUAUAUAGGCUUGUACCUAGAAUGAUGUAGGACAUUCUAGAAUAGUCUUGAGUUGUAAGGAACCCUCCAAGGUUCUAGAGAGUUCCAUUGGUGCCUAUAAAUAGGUGAGGGCCUCAUUUGGCCAAGACACCAAACAAGUGAGCAUCCAAGCACUUGUAAAGGCUUUCUUGAGUUAAUAAGAGCUUCCAUUCUUUAAGGAGUUGCCUACUAAGCUCUUAAGCUUUCGAGUCGCGAGUGUUUUAGCUGAGCAAGCUAAGCGUUGGGGAUCAAGGCUGACUUAGCAAGAUCAAGCGUCUUGACUUGCCUAAGUGCCGCACGAGCUUAGUGAACGACUAAGUCCGUGACAAUAGGCUCUGAAGAGGAUCUGGGCCUAAAGAUGGAAAUGGAAUUCAUCAAGUGUCGUGAGAAGGAGAUUAGUGGGAAGUAGAUGCCGGCUCUCUAGUGCUCCAUGGCAGAGAGAGAGAUCGUGGAUGAAGCCUUCAGGUAUGGGUCCUCUUCAAAUCUAAGGGUUGGGGAAUCCUCUCUCUUUUCUUCUUCUCUUUUUGGUCGGACUCCGGAGAGGGAGUUUUGCGACCACUCUGGGGAUUUAAGGGAGAGCCGCCAGAAAGAAAAUAAGAUGGAGCUUGCAGCUACAGGGGGGGAUACAACGAGUAGAGAGGGCUGUUGGGACCUGAUUGAAAUCAAUUGUGACGCUUUAGAGGUUCAAAACCCGGAAUGGUCUCCAAUUCUGUCUGGGCCCCAGGUUCUAAGGAGCGAGAAGGAGACUAAUUGGGAGGAAAGUAGCUUGGCUAAGUUUAGCAAGCUGUUGGGAUUUUCAAUAGAAGUCCUGGAGAGGGAAAUUUUGGAUUUUUUGUCCAAAAUUAGGAAAAGACGGGAAAUGAUACAUAGCAAAGGGUUACUGGAGAAAUCAAAAUUUGAGAGGGAGCUCAAAAGGCUGGAAUGUUCAGUCAAAUAUAAGGGGAAGGACAAGAAGAACAAUCAUUUAAAAAGUAGAGGGGGCCAAUUAUUGUUGGGUUAAUGAAUCUCAAACUGAUGAGUUGGAAUGUGAGGGGUGCAAAUGACGUUAAUAAAAGAAGGAUUAUUAAGUCUGUGGUUAGAAAACAGAAGGUGGACUUGGUUUGUAUCCAGGAGACAAAAAUUCAGUUAAUGAUUGAUGGGGUGGUGAAAAGUUUAGGGGUGGGGAGAUUCUUUAGAUUGGAGAACUCUUGAAGCUGCUGGAGCAGCUGGAGGUGUGUUGAUUUGUUGGGACAAAAGGUCCUUGGAAAUGGUGGAUUGAGAGGAGGGCCAAUUCUCAAUCUCUUGUAAAUUCAGAAUUGUGGACAAUGGGGCAGUCUGGGUGUUCACAGGUGUUUAUGGCCCUUUCACCAAAGAGGAUAGGGAGUGUCUUUGUGAUGAACUUGGAGCAGUCAGAGGUCUUUGGGGUGAUCCAUGGUGUGUAGGGGGAGAUUUUAAUGUUAUUCUCGCUCAAGAGGACAGAAGCAGGUAAGGGAGGGUGACUCCAGCUAUGAGGAGGUUUGCUCAGGUUAUGGAUGACCUUGAGCUAAUCGACCUUCCCCUUCAAGGAGGCUUUUUCACGUGGAGUGGGGGGCUUCAUAAUCAAGCCUGGGCCAGGCUAGAUUGAUUUUUGGUUUCUCCCAGAUGGCUUGAACAGUUCAGCAAUGUGACUUAGAAGAGAUUAUCUCGGCCUAUAUCAGAUCAUUUUCCAAUCAUAAUCGAGGGGGGUGGCAAAAGAAGAGGCCCUUCACCUUUCAGGUUCGAGAACAUGUGGCUGAAAGUGGAAGGGUUUAAGGACCUCUUGAGGAGUUGGUGGCAGGGGAUGUCGGUCAGUGGUAGGGCUAGCUAUAAGUUGGCAACAAAACUGAAGGGGAUUAAACAAAACUUAAAAGUUUGGAACAGGGAGGUGUUUGGGCACUUGGAGAGUAAUAAAUUGGCUGCCUUACAGCAUGUGGACUAUUGGGACCAAGUGGAAAGUGAGAGGAGUCUGUCAGAGGAGGAAUUUUCCAGAAAGAAAGAAGCGAAAGAAGGCUAUGCUAAGUGGGUUAAGUUGGAAGAGAUUCACUGGCGACAACUCUCAAGGGAGCUGUGGCUAAGAGAAGGGGAUAAAAAUAUGGGGUAUUUUCAUCGAAUGGCAAACGCGCACUGAAGAUGGCAUACCAUGGAAAGAAUAAAAAUCAAUGGGGCCUGGCUGUCAGAGGAGCAUGCAGUUAGGACCGGAAUAGUAGACGCCUUUUGUCGGUUAAUAAUCGGAAGACUCGGAGUGAAAGGCAGAUAUAGGGGGGUUAAAUCUGAAUCAGAUUAGCCAACAAGAGGCGGACAUCUUGGAGCUGCCAUUCAUGGAAGAGGAGGUCCAUUCGGCCCUAAUGGACAUGAAUGGGGACAAGGCUCCAGGUCCGGAUGGCUUUACAGGAGCCUUUUGGCAAUUCUGCUGGGAGUUCGUGAAGGAGAAGGUUUUGGAGAUGUUCAAGGAAUUCCAUGAGCAUAAUGCUUUUCUCAAGAGUCUUAAUACCACGUUUUUGGUUCUGAUCCCCAAAAAAGGAGGAGCGGAGGAGCUGGGGGACUUUAGGCCGAUCAGUCUCUUGGGCGGGUUAUACAAACUCUUGGCUAAGGUGCUGGCCAAUAGGAUUAAAAACGUGAUUGGUAGAGUGGUCUCUUCAGACCAGAACGCUUUUGUCAUGGGUAGGCAGAUUUUGGAUGCGUCCCUAAUCGCAAAUGAGGUGAUUGACUCGUGGAAAAAAGAAGGAAAGAAGGGCCUGAUCUGCAAACUAGAUAUUGAAAAGGCGUACGACAGCGUCAAUUGGGGUUUCCUGAUGAGGGUUAUGGAAAAAAUGGGUUUUGGGACUAAGUGGAGGGAGUGGAUAUGGAGCUGUAUAUCGACUGCUAAGUUCUCUGUGUUAGUAAAUGGGGAGCCAGCUGGGUUCUUCUCUAGCUCUAAGGGGCUUCGGCAAGGCGACCCUCUAUCCCCAUAUUUGUUUAUCAUGGGAAUGGAGGUGCUGAGUGCCCUUAUUCGGAGGGCUGUGGAAGGGGGCUGCAUCACUGGAUGUAGAAUCCAGAGGGGUAGGGGGCAGGCUGUUAGCAUCUCUCACCUUCUCUUUGCGGACGAUGCCAUAGUUUUCUGUGAGGCUAAGAAAGAUAAUAUGACUUUUUUGAGCUGGACCUUAUGUUGGUUUGAAGCCGCUUCAGGGCUGAGGAUUAAUUUGGCUAAAAGCGAAAUUAUUCCAGUGGGGGAGGUGGAUGAGAUCCUUGAGAUGGCUGUGGAGCUGGGUUGCAAGGUAGGUCAGCUGCCAUCAACCUACCUGGGGCUGCCUCUGGGUGCGCCUAAUAAAACUGGUUACGUGUGGGAUGGGGUGGAAGAACGGAUGAGGUGGAAAUUAGCCCUUUGGAAGCGGCAAUACCUCUCUAAGGGUGGUAGAAUCACCCUCAUAAAGAGUACACUGGCUAGCAUGCCAUUAUAUCAAUUGUCCCUCUUCCGUAUGCCUAAGGUAGUGGCAAGAAGACUAGAAAAAUUGCAAAGAGAUUUCUUGUGGGGAGGGGGAAGUACGGAAAGAAAAGCACACCUAGUCAGUUGGGAGAGGGUGUGUGUGAGUAAGGAGAAAAGGGGGNNNNNNNNNNNNNNNNNNNNNNNNNNNNNNNNNNNNNNNNNNNNNNNNNNNNNNNNNNNNNNNNNNNNNNNNNNNNNNNNNNNNNNNNNNNNNNNNNNNNUUGGUUUGAGGAAACUAGUCCAAUUGAACAAAGCCCUUCUUGGAAAAUGGGUGUGGAGAUUUGCUCGUGCCAAGGAGGAGAUGUGGAAAUGUGUUCUUAUGGCAAAAUAUGGGCAAGACGAAUUUGGGUGGAGAACUAAAAAAGCAAAUGGGGCGUUUGGUGUUGGGCUAUGGAAGGAGAUUUUGAAAGAAGCUGAUUGGUGUUGGGACAAUAUGACUUUUAAGGUAGGAAAAGGCACCAGAAUCAGGUUUUGGAAGGACCCUUGGUGUGGGGAUGUGGAGCUGGCCCGGAGGUUCCCUCAACUCUUCAAUGUGGCUGCCCAAAAGAGUGCCACUGUGGGGGAUUUAUGGGACCAGAAUUCUGGCCAAGGAGGCUGGAACCUAAGGUUUAUUAGAGGCCUCAAUGAUUGGGAGCUGACCUUGGUUGACGAAUUGCUUCAAAUUCUAAGGAGCCAAAGAAUUACCUUGGAGGAGGACUUUGGCCUUAUGGAAGGGGGGAAAAAAUGGGAAGUUUGACGUCAAGGAUGCGUAUGGGCUGUUGACCAGUCAUAGUAUCCCUUUGUUUCCCAAAAAGGGCAUUUAGGUGGAGAACGUUCCUUCCAAGCUAGCGUUUUUUGCGUGGGAAGCUACUUGGGGGAGGGUUCUUACUAUUGAUAGGCUUCAAAAUAGAGGAUGGCAAAUUCCUAACCGGUGUUAUUUAUGUGUUAGUGAUGAGGAAAAUUUUAAUCAUCUCCUUAUUCAUUGUACAGUGGCUAGCGUGUUGUGGGGGAUGGUUCUUAGUCUGUUUGGAGCCCAAUGGGUCUCUCUAGAAACUGUAAAGGAGGCGGUUAUCAGCUGGAAGGGUUCUUUUGUGGGUAAAAAGAGGAAGAAAAUUUGGAGAUCCAUACCGUUAUUUAUUUUUUGGACGGUGUGGAAGGAAAGGAAUAGAUUAGCAUUCGGGGGGGGGAGUUAGCUAUGUAGAAAGUUAAGUAUUCUUUUGUUUGUAAUAUGUGGGGGUGGGCAAAAUUGUAUAAUGGUGCGGAGUCUCGCUCCCUUAUAGGUUUCCUGGAGUGGAUAGCCUCCAGUUAAGGGCUGGUGGGUUUUUGUUGUUUUUUGGUCCUUUGUUGUGAGGCCUUCGUCGCCUCGUAUACUCCCUGUAUGCUAUGCGGCACUUUGCCUUUUGCUAAUAUAUGUGUGUUUACUUAUCGAAAAAAAAAGUAAGUUGAAAGACCAUUUGUCCAUUUGAAUCUAGCUUGAUUGAUAUUGAGAAAGAAUCUAAUAUCAUCUCUAUGCAACUAAAUUUACUAGAUUUCCAUAUUAUGAAUACCCCUCCUCUUGCCACACAAGCCGAAAGAUUAGCCUAGUCCUUAUUCUUAAUGGUUUACACAUUUCUCACUAAUCUUUUAUCGCACUUUGCUUUCCUUGUUUCCUUAAGCAUCUCUAUAUAAAGAUAUAAAUUCCUUAAUUACCCUUCUUUUCUUUCUUUACUCCAAACCACAAAUGUUCUAGCUUAUGAUCCUUGUGCCAAAUCUUAGAAGCCCAACUACUAACUCCCUCUAAACAUCAUUCCCCUUGAUAAUAGAUUUGUAAAUCCUCCUAAUGUUCUCCUUAUCCUUAGACCUAACACUAUUAUUGUUGAGGGAAAGAAAAUUCUCAUUAUGUUUGAUAAGUUUGACAUUCAUAGAGGUUAGAAUAGAUUUAACACUUUCCAUUUAGCUAAGAGUGAGCCCUUUAAUGUGAAAACCUUCUAAUGCUGAAGGGUUUGGGUUUAUAUUUGUUCUUCAAUAGGCAAAAGAACCUUCGUGGAUGCACUAGGCAAGGACCUAGGGAAAGUAUCUCUUGUAAACAUAGGGCAAGAGGGAGCUAUGGAACAGUCCAAUUCAACAAAUUUGGGACAACCAACACUAGAGUCAAGUACUGCACCAUUUUUUAUUUAUUUAUAAAAAAGGUUAAUUAAGGAUAAUGGAUUUGAUGGGGUUAGAGAUGGCUAUGUAGAAUUGAGGACUAAAGGGCCAAAGGUGAUUGAAUGAAGAACUUUUAGGGUCACGGGGGAUAGGUAAGAGGGAGUUUAGGAUGGAAAUGCAUGAGCCAUGGGUACCUCUCUUAACCUAUUAAAAGACAGAUCACACCACCCAUCUAAGUUCAUGUCCUUAGUAAUGACUACUAGACUUGAACUAAUGAACCAUAGUGAGAACUCCCUCCAAUUCUUACAUCCUCUAGGUCAUAGUCUGUUUUCUUUUCUAGUGUGGUUUUGAGUGCCAUAGGAUUUAGGACCACCAUUGCGUUAUCUAUCAUAGACUACAUUGCUUUUGAGGGAAAUGUGCUCCUACCCUCCUACCAAUAAAAUCUUUUGAUCUUCUCAAUGAUAAUUUUGCUAAGAUUAAGGCUACCUCUUAGCUCAACUGAUCCACAGUCCAAUAGAUGUUUUUUACAUUGUAAAUCCCUUAGGAUCCUAUAGUAGGAGGUAGCAAUUGGUAAUAGUCCAUUGAUGGAGGGAGGGAAACACCAAUUUUGUAACCCUUGAUGACUAAGAGAUCUAGAAGAAUUGGAGAGCAAUUGUAGAGAGAAAGACUUUUGCGUCAUUGUUUUAGGUUGGGUUCCUUGCCUUGUGAUUGUUGUUUGUUUAGGCUUUUGAAAUUUUAUGAUUAUAUAAUGGGCAUCCCUUUACUAUCAUCUACUAUUAGCCCACGCAAUGUCUUGGGCUCCCUUCAAAAUAAAAAGUGCACUUCCUUUCCUUUAAAACCACCCUUUUCAGACUAGACCAAUAACUAUGUUUGGCCUACACUACACCUUAGUGUCACAAGUUGAUCCAAAUGAGCCUCCCCAUGGCCUUAUAUAGAGCUAGGAAGCUUCUGGAGACUCCCAGAGUGGGAAGAGUGUGGAAGGUUCUAGAGAAGUCUGGAGGAAUCCACACAAUUCUACACCAUGGUAGAAGGCACGAGAGGAGUCCGGGGCUUUCUAGAGAAAUCUAGAAGACUCUUGUAUAUACUUGUAUAUAGGCUUGUACCUAGAAUGAUGUAGGACAUUCUAGAAUAGUCUUGAGUUGUAAGGAACCCUCCAAGGUUCUAGAGAGUUCCAUUGGUGCCUAUAAAUAGGUGAGGGUCUCAUUUGGUCAAGGCACCAAGCAAGUGAGCUUCCAAGCACUUGUAAAAGCUUCUUUGAGUAAUAAAGAGCUUCCAUUCUUUAAGGAGUUGCCCACUAAGCCUCUUAAGCUUUCGAGUCACGAGUGUCUUAGCCGAGCAAGCUAAGCAUUGGGGAUCAAGGCUGACUUAGCAAGAUCAAGUGUCUUGACUUGCCUAAGUGCCGCACGAGCUUAGUGAACGACUAAGUCCGUGACAUUAGGCUCCUAUUAGUGAAAAAGGCCUCCUUCCUUACCCUUAACUUCUCUUUUUCUACUCGCCUAAACUUGAGAAAUUAGCCAACUUAGAGUUUGGAUAGGAAUUGGUCUGAUUUGAUCUUUGAUGGAUUGAAAAAUAUAAAUUUUGAAUUUGAAAUAAUGUGGUAUGAAGUAUAACUGUCCACCACUAGCUCCUUUCUAUUACUACGUGACCUAUAAGGCUAUAAUGUUGAGUCAUCUCAACCCUUCUACUCCAAUCCUAUCCUUAAUUUUUUUUUUUUUUUUUUGAUAAGCAAACAGAGAAUCUAUUAAAGAGUGCCGGUGAAAGGGAGUGCGCAACCUAUGCGUACAAGAUCUACUCCUAUCCUUAAUGAUUCCCACACCUUACUAAGUCACAUUGGCUUCUACCCAGAGUUAACCUAAGGAUAACUCAUUGACCAUUUUCAUCUUCUUCAACUAAUGAUACUGUUGUUGUGAAAACCCAAGCCCAAUUUGAGAUUUUUAGUGUCGUCAAAAUCAUUGUGUGCUCCUUUACCUUAAUUUUUAGAUGAAUCUUGGAAAGAUCGUGUUGAAAUUCGGCAUUCAAAGUUAGAGUUUUAAUUUAGGAAAGUAUUUUAGGAAUAAAAAAAGGGAGAGAUCAUUUAGGAUAUUUCCUUAGGAUUCAGUUUCCUAUUUUUUAGGAGAGAAUCAAGCUAGAUAGAUAUUUUCUUAUUCAGUCAUUUGUAUAUAUAUAUAUGUGUAUGGUGUGUACCGAAAUAAUAAUAAUAAAGGAGUUCAGAAAUUCUUCAUGGUAUCAGAGCCAGUUUUUCUGAAACUCUAAUCUCUUCUAGCCAUCUCUUAUUCAGGCCAUCAUUCAUUCCAGCCACACCUCUUUGGCCAUUUCUCAAUCCGGCUAUCUCUCUCUCUGGCCAUCACUCAUUCCGGCCAAGUCUCUCUGGCCAUCUCUCAAUCCUACCAUCUCUCUCUCUGGCCAUCUCUCAUUCCGGCCAUCAGUCCCUGUUUUCAGGCCGAUAUCUCUGGUUUUCUCCUCUUCCCUAUUUCCAACAACCAUAUUCGGCUGUCUUCUUCAUCUCCAUGACAAAAUACGGAAUGACAUCAUCACAAAUAUCCAGCGUCACGACACCAGAAUUAGGGGGCAGUUAUGAAAUUCCAAACCUUGGUGGCAGUGAUUCCUCUCCUAUUCUCAUCACAGGACACAAAUUAAAUGGCCAUAACUAUUUACAGUGGUCACAAUCUGUGUUGCUGUUCAUUUGCGGUAAAGGACAGGAUGAGUACCUCACUGGAGAAGCAGCCAUGCCAGAAACUAUAGAACUUGGUUUCAGGAAGUGGAAGAUUGAAAACAACAUGAUCAUGUCAUGGCUUAUCAAUUCCAUGAACAAUGACAUAGGUGAAAAUUUCUUGCCGUUUAGGACUGCAAAGGACAUAUGGGAUGCAGCCAAAGAAACUUACUCAAGUUCUGAAAAUACUUCAGAACUUUUUCAGAUUGAAUCAACCCUACAUGACUUCCGCCAAGGAGAGCAGUCAGUUACUCAGUAUUACAACACACUCACAAGGUAUUGGCAGCAACUUAACUUAUUCGAGACUCAGUCAUGGAAAUGUUCAGAUGAUGCAGCAACAUACAGGCAGAUUGUGGAACAAAAGAGAUUGUUCAAGUUUUUUCUAGGACUAAACAGGGAAUUGGAUGAUGUUAGAGGCCGAAUCAUGGGCAUUAAACCCCUGCCAAGUCUCAGGGAGGCUUUUUCAGAGGUUAGGCGUGAAGAAAGUAAAAAGAAAGUGAUGAUGGGAUCCAAAGAGCAACCUACCCCAACAUUGGAUGUCUUUGCCCUUGCUGCUUAGUCAUUUAAUAGUAGUGGUGGAGAUCGUCAGAAAUGUGAUAGGCCUUGGUGUGAUUAUUGUAAGAAAAUAGGCCAUUAUAAGGAGGCUUGUUGGAAGCUUCAUGGCAAACCGGCUGAUUGGAAACCAAAGCCACGGUUUGACAGAGAUAGCAGAACACACGUGGCUGCCAACUCUGAGAGCACAUCUGUUCCCGAGCCGAGUCCAUUCAACAAAGAGUAGAUGGAGAUGCUACAGAAACUAUUAAGCCAAGUUGGCAGUGGCAGUACUACCGAGACAACCUUCACUGCUAAUCGAGGAGGAAUGAAGCCGUGGAUAGUGGACACAAGUGCUUCUGAUCACAUGACAGGAGAUGUUGCCAUUCUUCAAAAUUACAAGCCAAGUAAUGGUCAUUCAUUCGUCCAUAUUGCUGAUGGUUCAAAGUCAAAAAUUGCCGGGACAGGUUCCAUAAAACUUACUAAAGAAUUGUAUCUUGACUCUGUCCUCCAUGUUCCAAACUUGGAUUGUAAUCUUUUGUCCAUUAGCAAAUUGGCCCGUGAUCUCCAAUGUGUUACUAAAUUUUAUCCAAACUCGUGUGUUUUUCAGGACUUGAAAUCGGGGAAGAUGAUUGGCAGUGCUGAACUGUGUUCCGGGCNNNNNNNNNNNNNNNNNNNNNNNNNNNNNNNNNNNNNNNNNNNNNNNNNNNNNNNNNNNNNNNNNNNNNNNNNNNNNNNNNNNNNNNNNNNNNNNNNNNNNNNNNNNNNNNNNNNNNNNNNNNNNNNNNNNNNNNNNNNNNNNNNNNNNNNNNNNNNNNNNNNNNNNNNNNNNNNNNNNNNNNNNNNNNNNNNNNNNNNNNNNNNNNNNNNNNNNNNNNNNNNNNNNNNNNNNNNNNNNNNNNNNNNNNNNNNNNNNNNNNNNNNNNNNACAUCAGGAGGAGGAAAAGACAAGAGUUGGAGCACAGAUCACAGCCAACAUGUGGCCAAUAUAUUGACUCCAUUUCAAGUCUACCUGAAGAGAACAUAGGUGAGGAUAGGGCUGGAGAGGUGUCAAUUCCCAGCAUUGAUGAUUCUACUCUGCCGAUUGCAUUGAGGAAGGGUGUUAGGAGAUGUACAGAUCAUCCAAUUGGGAAUUAUGUUACGUAUGAAGGGCUAUCACCAUCUUACAGAGCAUUUGCUACUUCUCUUGAUGAUACUCAGGUUCCCAACACAAUACAAGAGGCAUUCAAAAUUUCAGAAUGGAAGAAGGCAGUACAAGAUGAGAUUGAUGCACUUGAGAAGAAUGGGACAUGGACUAUCACAGAUUUGCCGAUUGGGAAGAGGCCCGUGGGGUGCAAGUGGAUUUUCACCAUAAAAUACAAACCAGAUGGAUCAGUCGAGAGAUUCAAGGCUCGUUUGGUAGCUAGAGGGUUUACACAAUCCUAUGGGAUAGACUAUCAGGAGACUUUUGCUCUUGUUGCAAAACUGAACACUAUCAGGAUUCUUCUCUCAUUGGCUGUCAAUCAAGAUUGGUGCUUGCAACAACUGGACAUAAAAAAUGCGUAUCUAAAUGGUGACCUAGAAGAGGAAGUCUACAUGGAAAUACCACCUGGUUUCGAAGGAAGUAUGGCAAAGAAUCAGGUUUGCAAACUCCAAAAAUCCUUGUACGGCCUUAAACAAUCUCCCCGAGCCUGGUUUGAUAGAUUCACAAAGGCAGUCUUGAAGCUGGGCUACAAACAAGAUCAGGCUGAUCAUACUCUAUUUGUCAAGAAGUCUCAUGCUGGGAAAAUGGCCAUAUUGAUAGUCUAUGUCGAUGAUAUUAUUCUAUCUGGGAAUGAUAUGGAGGAAUUACAGAAGUUGAAGAAGUAUUUGUCAGAAGAGUUUGAAGUUAAAGACCUUGGAAAUUUGAAAUAUUUCCUUGGUAUGGAAGUGGCUAGAUCAAGGAAGGGAAUUGUAGUCUCUCAAAGAAAAUACAUACUCGACCUUCUUAAGGAGACCGGUAUGCUUGGAUGCAAACCAAUUGAUACUCCUAUGGAUAGUCAGAAGAAACUUGGUAUCGAGAAAGAAAGUACACCGGUAGACAGGGGGAGAUAUCAGCGACUCGUUAGGCGCUUGAUUUAUCUCUCACACACUCGACCAGAUAUUGGCUUUGCAGUGAGUGCUGUAAGUCAAUUCAUGCACAACCCCACUGAGGAACACAUGAAAGCAGUUUACAGGAUUCUUAGAUAUUUAAAAAUGACACCAGGGAAAGGUCUAUUCUUCAGAAAGAUAGAGAAUCGUGACACUAAAGUAUACUCAGAUGCGGAUUGGGCAGGAAACAUCAUUGACAGGCGGUCCACUUCUGGAUACUGUUCUUUUGUCUGGGGAAAUCUUGUUACCUUGAGGAGUAAGAAGCAAUUAGUUGUAGCCAGAAGUAGUGCAGAAGCUGAGUACAAAGCUCUAGCACAGGGAAUCUGUGAAGGGAUUUGGAUAAAAAGGGUUCUUAGUGAACUGGGACAAACGAGUUCAUCUCUGAUUCUGAUGAUGUGUGAUAAUCAAGCAGCUAUAAGCAUAGCAAAGAAUCCCGUGCAUCAUGACAAGACCAAGCACGUUGAGAUUGACAGACACUUCAUCAUAGAGAAGGUGACUAGUGAGACAAUUAAAUUGAACUACGUUCCUACCAAGCACCAAACCGCAGACAUCCUCACCAAAGCUUUACCUAGGCCUAACUUCGAAGACUUAACUUUCAAGCUGGGAUUAUAUGAUAUAUAUUCUCCAGCUUGAGGGGGAGUGUUGAAAUUUGGCAUUCAAAGUUAGGAUUUUAAUUUAGGAAAGUAUUUUAGGAAUAAAAAAAGGGAGAGAUCAUUUAGGAUAUUUCCUUAGGAUUCAGUUUCCUAUUUUUUAGGAGAGAAUCAAGCUAAAUAGAUAUUUUCUUAUUCAGUCAUUUGUGUAUAUAUAUGUGUAUGGUGUGUACUGAAAUAAUAAUAAUAAAGGAGUUCAGAAAUUCUUCAGAUCGAUUAACUUUGAUGUGUGCCUAUCGAUUUCAAAGACCCUUUCAACACUCAUUUGUCGGUUGCAAUAGGUGCUUCUUAAUCCACAUGUCAAAAGACACUCUUUUUCAACUCAAUGCACCCCUUUUAGAAUGUACCUAGAAUCUUUGUAUUUACCCUUGGUGACUUCUUGUACACUUGAACCAUUACCGCUUCGUAUGCAUAGAUGAACCUCUUUUGAUGGAGAUAUUUUGCUUUAUCUAUGGAAUCAACAAAGAAAACCUCUUUACCACCAGAUUGCGCAUUUUCAUGUUUAAAAAAAAGAGAGGGGUUGUAAAAAAUGCAAGAGAGAGAGAGAGAGCGAGAGAGGGCGAGAGAGAGUGCGAUGGUGAGGAGGGGGAGGAGAGCUCGGCGUCGCGGAGCAGAAGGAAGGAGUGCAGUUUCACAGUGGAAUCCAAGGCGUUCGAGAUUGUUGUGGAGGAUAGAAGAGGAAAAAUCCAAGGCCUCAUUGUGGAGAAGAAGGGAGGGGUCUCGUCAUGGGUCCGAUUGGGAUCGGAUAGCCUAGGGUUUUUCUUGGAAGGGUUGAAUCUCUGUAUCAAGGAUGAGAAAGAAGACAGAUGGGAAGGGAAUGGAAGGAGCAGGGGAGACUGUAUUCUAUGACUCGAGGGACAAACAGAGCGGGGGGGUUUAUACGGCUAGGGGUCUCCGAUAUAGAGGGGAAGAGGUACCACAUCUUCAUCCUGAGAGGCAGUAGGGAUAAGAGGGGGUGGAUGACCAUGGCGGAGAAGCUUAACCAGAUGGUAGGGUUUCUUGGCAAAAACCCAGAAAACCAGAAAGGAAAGGCUGUGGAGAAGGCUGUUGUGGGAAGAUCGUAUGCAGCAAUGGUGACAAGAACACUGUCGGGUAACCCAAAUGUCAUUGCAGUGAAGGUGAAAAAGGAGGAAUCAAUAGGAUUAUUACAGAAAUUAAAUCAUUGUGUUGUGGCGAGUUGGAGAGAUAAGUCAAGGGAAGAAGAUGAUCUUGAGAAGUUGGGGCAAUUCUGGGCAAAGUCUUGGGACCUUAAGGGUAGCUUAGGGCUGGCUAAACUGGACAAGGGAAGAGCGCUGCUGAAAGUUGAAAAUUUGGAGGAGGCUAGACGAGUCAUUUCCUCUGGGAGUCGCGCGAUGGAAGGAACCCAGGUAAGGCUGGAGCACUGGAGCCCUAGGAGUGGAUGUUGGGCAGAGGAGGAAGAGAGAAAGGAAGUUUGGGUAAGGAUAGUUGGGCUCCCAAUCUCGUUAUGGAGUCCAGAGAUAUUGAAGAGAGUGGGGGAUGAAUGUGGCGGUUUUAUCACAGUCGAUGAACAGACGAAAUCGAUGGGUGAACUCCAAUGGGCCAGAAUCUUGGUGAGAUUGAGAGGAGAAUUUAGACCGAGCAUGCUGGAAAUCGAAGUGGAGGAGGAGAUUUGCGCAGUGUCCUUAUGGUGGGAAUGCUGGCCGGUGUUGAGGAGGAAGCGCAGAAACGAAGCCGGUCAUCGUAGCAGUGAGGUUAGGGGUGAGGAGGUCUCACGCGCGGGGCAGCAAGUGAUGAAGGAAUGGGUGAGCGUGAGGCUCGAGACGUUGAACCCGUUAGACGAAGGGACGGACGUGCAGGGGGUUGGGUCGGGUCGGGUUGAGGUUAGUACAGACCUAAGCUCGACAACCCGGACUUGGGCUUUAACUGGCGAACUAAAUCCUUUAAGUCCAAUCGCGGGCCCAAAGGAGACAAGGAGGGUUGGUGGGCUUGGCCUGAUGAGCGGGUCCAUGGACUUGAAGAAGAAAGGAGUGGCUACAAGUGAUUUUGAACCAAACGUAGGCCCAUCGUAUAGAAUGGAAGAUGUGGGCUGCUAUACUAAAGGCCCAGCUCCGCCUAUAGCCUGAUCAUCAAUCGAAGACCCAAGUUGCUCAAAGGCCUGCACCCAACAGCCCGAUCCAAGUGGAAAACUAAGGGAGGGCCCAAAAUCAUCAGUAGCCCAAGAGGAGACGGGCUUUCUGUUGAAGUGUCUCGCCUCCAGUUAUCCUCCAGAAUCAGAGACUUUUGUUGCGAGGGAGUCUGAGGACACAAGGAAGCUACAAGGAGUGGUUAGGCUGACAGAGACAGAUAGGGCGCUUGAAGAGGAAUCAAUGAGGUAUGGAAUGGGGUCUGGUUCUUGGGGGAAAAGGGCAUUGGGGGAUUCUCAUCUCAAUUCUUUUCUUUUUGAUCGGACUCCNNNNNNNNNNNNNNNNNNNNNNNNNNNNNNNNNNNNNNNNNNNNNNNNNNNNNNNNNNNNNNNNNNNNNNNNNNNNNNNNNNNNNNNNNNNNNNNNNNNNUUUUUUUUUUGUUGGGUCGGGGGGGGGGGGGGGGGGGGGGGGAGUUUUACGAUCAUUCUGGGGAUUUGGAUGAGGAAGUUCGGGCUGAUAACUCAAUGUGGUUAACAGUGUAUGAGGCUUGUAAUGAAAGGAUUACUGAACGUAAGGAACUGGGAGUAAUCAAAAGUAGUAGUGACAAAGGCAGGGGGAAGGAAGGGGUUGGUGACAUAUAUGAUGCUCAAGUUGAGAGAAGUGAGCCGGAGGGUAAAUGGGAAGAGAGUGGCUUGGUGAGGUUCAACCAGUUCCUGGGCUUCCCUACGGAGGGGCUGGAGAAGGAAAUAUUGAAUUUUUUGACCAAGAUUAGAAAAAGACGGGAGAAAAUUCAUAGCAAAGAGCUACUGGAAAAGUCUAAGUUUGAAAGGGAGCUAAAAAGACUGGAAUGUUCCAUAAACUAUGAGGGGGGGAUGAAACAGAAAGGCUCGAUAUAGGGCAAAGGGCGCCAAAUUGUGAUUGUCCAAUGAAGGUGAAAAUUUUGAGUUGGAACGUGAAGGGAGCAAAUGAUAGCUCCAAAAGAAAAGUGAGUAAGACGUUCAUAAGAAAUCAGAGGGUGGACUUAAUUUGUAUUCAGGAGACAAAAAUGCAGUUUAUGACGGAUAGCAUUGCGAGAAGUAUAGGCUUCGGAAGAUUCCUAGGUUGGAAAGCUGUGAAUGUGGAGGGAGCUUCGGGAGGAAUUUUUAUAUGCUGGGAUAGAAGGUCUUUGGAAAUCCUAGAUUGGGAGGAGGGACUGUUUACUCUAUCUUGCAGAUUCCGGAAUGUAGAAAAUGGGGUUGUCUGGGUUUUUACGGGAGUGUAUGACCCUUUCUCUAAAGUAGAAAGGGAUGCAUUAUGGGAAGAGUUUGGGGCGAUUAGAGGGCUGUGGGAAGACCCUUGGUGCAUAGGGGGGAUUUUAAUAUCACUUUGUUUUCGAGGGAAAGGAGUAGCCAGAGGAGAAUUAACUCAGCAAUGAGAAAAUUUGCUGAAACUGUGAAUGAUCUUGGGCUGGUGGAUCUUCCUCUUCAGGGGGGAGAUUUUACUUGGAAUGGGGACCAAAAUAAUCAGACUUGGGCAUGUCUGGACAAGUUCCUUGUGUCUCUUAGUUGGAUAGACCAAUUCAGUGGGAUUAAUCAGUGCAAGCUGCCCCGUCCGGUAUUCGAUCAUUUCCCAAUUAUGUUAGCGGGGGAUGGGAUAAGACGAGGCCCGACUCCAUUCAGAUUUGAAAACAUGUGGCUUAAGGCUGAGGGCUUCAUAGAGCUUGUAUGCAGCUGGUGGCAAGGAAUUAAUGUUAGGGGCAGUGCUAGUUACAAGUUGGCUACUAAGAUGAAGGAAAUCAAACAGAAGCUGAAAGUUUGGAAUAGAGAAGUCUUUGGUAAGCUAGAGUGCAACAAAUCUACAGCCUUGCAACAGGUGGAAUUCUGGGAUAGGGAGGAAAAUGAAAGAAUUUUGACUGUGGAGGAAUCAGAGCUUAAGAAAGAGGCAAAAGAAAAUUACAGAAAAUGGGUGAUUAUGGAGGAAACUCAUUGGAGACAGCUCUCAAGGGAAAUAUGGCUGAAGGAGGGGGAUAGAAACACGGGUUUCUUUCAUCGCAUGGCAAGUGCUCACCGUAGAAAUAAUUUUUUGGAGAGAAUUAAGAUCAAUGGGGAAUGGUUUCUAGAGGAGCAGGAAAUUAGGGAAGGAAUUGCUAAUGCGUUUAAAAAUUUACUCUCAGAAGAUACGGGGUGGAAGGUGGAUAUUGGGAGUCUUUAGCUUGAUCAGAUCAGCCAACAAGAGGCUGUGAUUUUGGAGAGGCCCUUUACAGAGGAUGAAAUCCAUGUGACUUUGAUGGAGAUGAAUGGGUAUAAAGCCCUUGGCCCGGAUGGCUUUACUCUGGCUUUUUGGCAAAGUUGUUGGGUGUUUAUUAAAGAGAAGAUUCUAGAAAUGUUCAAGGAAUUCUACGAACAUAGCUCUUUCCUCAAGAGCCUUAACAAUACUUUCUUGGUAUUGAUCCCCAAGAAAAGUGGGGCUGAGGACCUUGGAGAAUUUAGACCUAUUAGUCUCCUAGGGGGGCUUUACAAGUUAUUGGCUAAAGUGCUGGCUAACAGAUUGAAGAUAGUGGUUGGAAAGGUGGUCUCUACUUCUCAGAAUGCCUUUGUGAGGGGAAGACAAAUUCUUGACGCUUCCUUAAUUGCAAAUGAAGUGAUAGACUCGUGGCAGAAACGAAAAGAAAAGGGCCUUAUAUGCAAACUGGAUAUAGAAAAAGCUUAUGACAGUAUCAAUUGGAAGUUUUUGUUGAAGGUGUUGCAGAAAAUGGGUUUUGGGCCUAAGUGGGUGGGGUGGAUGUCGAGCUGCCUAUCUUCAGCUAAAUUUUCAGUGUUGGUUAAUGGAGUGCCUGCAGGCUUCUUUCCUAGCUCUAAAGUUCUUAGACAAGGAGAUCCCCUGUCUCCUUAUCUCUUUGUUAUGGGAAUGGAAGUGCUAGAUGUUCUUAUUAGGAGAGCUAUGGAGGGGGGUUUCUUAUCAAGGUGUAACAUAAGGGGUGGUAGUGAACCUCCUUUGAACAUCUCUCACUUGUUUUUUGCUAACGACACCAUUAUUUUCUGUGAGGCUAGAAAGGAUCAUCUAACUCAUUUAAGUUGGAUUUUAUUCUGGUUUAAAGCGGCGUCAGGCCUAAGGAUUAAUUUAGCCAAGAGUGUAAUCAUUCCAGUUGGAGAGGUGGUGGAGAUGGAGGAGUUGGCUGUUGAGCUAGGUUGCAAGGUGGGGUCCUUACCUUCUCAGUACUUGGGUCUUCCUUUAGGGGCUCUCAAUAGAGCGCCUUAUAUGUGGGAUGGGGUGAAAGAGAGAGUCAGGAGGAGACUAGCCCUUUGGAAAUGACAAUAUAUUUCUAAAGGGGGAAGAGUCACUUUAAUAAAAAGUACUUUGUCUAGCAUGCCAAUCUACCAAAUGUCUAUCUUCAGAAUGCCCAAGAUUGUUGCUAGAAGACUUGAGAAAGUGCAAAGGGACUUUUUGUGGGGAGGGGGAAAUAUGGAGGGGAAAACUCACUUGGUAAAUUGGGAGGUGGUAUGUACAGACAAGGAUAAAGGUGGGCUAGGCCUUAGGAAGCUAGCUAUGUUGAACAAAGCUUUACUUGGAAAGUGGAUAUGGAGGUUUGCUUGUGACAAAGAUAAUCUUUGGAAACAAGUGAUCAAGGUGAAGUAUGGGCAGGAGGACUUUGGUUGGAGGCCAAAGAAGGCUACCGGGGCGGUGGGAGUAGGGGUUUGGAAGGAGAUUUGGAAAAAAUCAGAAUGGUGUUGGGAUAACAUGACUUUCGGAGUAGGGAAGGGCAACACGAUCAGACUUUGGACAGAUGUGUGGUGUUCAGAGUCAACGCUGUCCCAUUGUUUUCCUCAUCUCUUUGGUAUGGCGGUUCAAAGGAACUCAACGGUUGAGGAAAUGUGGGAUCAAAAUUCGGGUCAAGGAAAUUGGAAUCUAAAUUUUUUGAGGGAUUUCAAUGAUUGGGAGUUGGAGUUGGUUGGGGAUUUUCUACACAUAUUGAGGGGUCUCAAACCCUCUUGGGAGGAAGAUUCAGUCCUGUGGAGGAAAGGAAGAAGUGGUCAAUUCAGGGUCAAGGAAGCUUAUAAUUUGUUGGUGAGGUCUAAUGAUACAAACUUUCCAUCAAGAAGCAUUUGGGUGGCAAGGGUGCCAACUAAAGUUGCUUUUUUCGCGUGGGAGGCGACGUGGGGGAGGGUGCUUACCUUGGAUAGACUUCAAAGAAGAGGACUACAACUUCCAAAUCGCUGCUUCCUGUGUGGUUGUGAGGAAGAAAGUGUAAAUCAUAUCCUUAUACAUUGUACAGUGGUUAGAGCUCUAUGGGAUAUAGUGUUUGGUUUAGUUGAUGUGAAAUGGGUUUUUCCAGAAACUGUAAAGGAGGUUUUAGUUAGCUGGAGGGGUCCGUUUGUGGGAAAGAAAAGGAAAAAGAUUUGGGACGCCAUUCCGUUGUGUAUUUUUUGGACGGUGUGGAAGGAGGGGAAUAGAUUAGCUUUUAGGGGGGGAGGGGUGUGUUGAACGUUCAGAAGCUAAAGAAUUUUUUUGUUUGUAAUCUGUGGAGUUGGGCCAAAUUGUAUGUAGGUGAGGAGGCGUUCUCCCUUAUAGGCUUCCUAGAGUGGAUAACUUCCACUUAAAGGGAGGUGAUUUUUUUGUUGUUGAUUUUUGAGGCCUUAGUUGCCUUGUAUACCUUGUGGCGUUGUGCCUUUUGAAUGCAUAUCCUUUACUUAUCAAAAAAAAAAAAAAAACCUCUUUACCACCAGGGAAAGAGGGAGAUAAAGACUACUCCUUUCAUCCCCAAAUGCUUGGCCAAAGCUCUGCCUAUUUUAAUCUUGCUCAUGUCUACUUCUGGGUUUUAGUAGACCAUUGCCCUAACCCAUCUCCCCACUAGCAUAGAACCUUCUCUUCUUAGCACUUUCUUAGCCAUGGCAUUCGCAUAAUAGAGCUUCACCAAAUGAAAGUCUAUUCUCUCCUUGACAAUUUUUGCUUACUAGUUUUUGCUACUUGUGUUCCCUUGAAGACCAUUGGUUGAGAUGGAAACAAAUUCAAAGACGAUAUGGAUUCUCUUAGUAUUUCUCACUCGUUGCUAUUUAAACCUUUUUAUAGAAUCACCUGAAAGGUUGUUUUUCGGUUUGUCACAAACUUUAAGCUUUUCAAGAAUUUGUCAUUAAUGUUCAUCUUUACCUCCAAAAGGUGCACUCUAGUGUUAACCUUAAAAUUUGUGACUAAAUCCUAGGAACCUGUCCAUCUCUAUAGCCUUCUUCAAAUAGUCCAAAAUCCAAUCAAUCUCUUCUUUCUCAAAUCCUAGGGUAAAGGAAGCUCCUUGAGUUUGCUUUGUGAUAGAAAUCCAUGGCCCUCCAUUCUUUCCUUCAAACCUUAACUCAAACGUCUCUAUCUCCAUUGAGUAAAUUCUUCUCUAGCUGUUGUCUUGCUUCAUUUUCUUUCUUUGUUUGUAUCUUACACUUUAGUUAAUUAAUCUCUCUCAAUUGUGACUAUCAAAAAUUGGUUUCUUGAUAUCACCUUGAGGAUAAGGUUGGAAUUUAAGAGAGAAGGAGUUGAUACACAUCUUUAAAUAUUCUUUACUGAUGUGUUCAUAGUUGUGAAAGGUGCGCCUAGGCUCCAUGUGGUGCGACACCAUGCUGCGGUGCCUCACCCGACUCCAAGCGUCGCCCCUUCACGAAGGCAUUGAUUAGGCGCACAAGGCGCUCGCUUCCGGCUAGCUAUGAUGUCCCAAACAAGUCUGCCUUCUUCCUCAUUCUUUUUUUUUUCCUUCUUUUGGUCUUCUUCUUCUUCUCUAGCGACUGAGUUGCAAAGGAGAACACGACAUUGCUAAGGGUUUUUUUUUUUUUUUUUAAUUUGCUAAGACCAAAAUGACUCGUUUUGGUCUUUUUCUUUUUAAAGAAUAGGGUUCAAAACAAUGUUGUUUUGGACCUGUUCUUGACUUCCAACCCCAAAUUUGCUUGUUUUGAAGCUGACAAAACCUAAAAAAAACCCCUAGCUUAGCCUCUGCCUCGUGUGCCUGUGAAGAAGAGAAGAAGACGAAGAAGAAAAGGAAAAAUAGAUGUACCUUGAAAUUUUGGAUAAUGUUUGAUGAUAUAUGUGUUUAUGACAAAUAAAUGAUUAUUAAAUUUGAUUAUAUUAUAUAAAAUUAUGUAUGUAAAAUAGGGCGUGCCUCACUUCACUAAAGCCCAUACCUUAGGUGCGCCUUGCGCCUUAGGCUCUAGGAGGACUUUGUGCCUUGGUGCAUUUUAAGCCUUUUAAAACCAUGGAUGUGUAAUUUUGAAUGGGUAAAAUUAGUUGUUGUUAGCGGGUUUUGUUGGGUUGUUUAGAUUCUAUAGGUAAUUUAUUUGGCGUUUGCCUACUUUUUAGGAAUAAGUUGUAGUUGCUAAUUUUAUUUAAAGCUGAUGAAUAAGAGGAGGGGGACACUCUAAUUUCCAACUUUUAUUUUUAUUUGGAUGUAUAAGGUUCCUUCAAAUGAAGUUGCUAUCUUAAUUAUAUUUUAGUUAUCUUCCCAAGAUAGGCAGAUGCAAGUAGACUAUAUUUCAAUUGGCUAUACUAAAUUCAUUCUUAGAAUUUUAAAAUAAAUAAAUAAAGGUUUUGAAUAUAGCAACAAGAAAAGAAAGAAAGAAAAAAAGAACGAAGAAAAAAUCAAUUAAAGUUUAUUUAUUUCUAAGGUUUCUCCGCAACCUACUCUUUCCUAAACAUAUGGUCAACCAUCUACAUACUUGCAUGGAAAUAACCUUAAUUAGUUGGUCAUGCUAGUGAUCAACAUUUAUUCUACUAAUUAGUGCAAAUUCUAACACUCAUUCUCAAGCUAGUUUGAAGAUAUUAUGCAUUCCUAGUUUGGUUGCAAUGAAGUUGAAUGUGACACUUGGAACUCUUGGUGAAAAUAUUGUUAGUUGUUGUUUGGCUGUCAUGAAAGGGGUACAAAUCUAACUGUUGUUGAUUUAUCCAUCUCAACAUGCUUUGUUCUAUCAUGUUGCUCUAUAUUGUGUGCAUUACUUAUUACAACUUUCUUGUUAAAGUAAAUCUUCAUAAUUUCUUUAGAAUCCAUUCUUUGUUCCUUAAGCAAGAUCCUAAUCUACAAUAAUUCACAAAUUCCUUAAGCUAUUGCUCAAAACUCAGCUUUUGCACUUGAUUUAACCAUAACAAGUUGCCUUUUACUUUUCCAGUGACUAGGUUUUCUCUCGGAAAUGUAUAGUAGCGCGAUGUUGAUUUUCUAUCUGUAAUGGACCUUUUCUUUACCAAGAGUUGACUUUAGGUAUCUCAAGAUUCUUUGAAUUGCAUCCAUGUAACAUUCUAAAGGUGAGUGCAUGAGUUUGGCUAACCAUGCUGAUAGCAUAGGCUAUAUCAUGCCUUAUUUGAAAUUGGUAGAUCAAUUUUCCAACAAGUCUUUGAUGUCUUCCUUUAACACUAAAAUUCCUUUUGUGAUUAAUGUAUUAGUAGGUUUAAUAAUCGUCUCAUUGAGUAGAUCUAGGAUAUACUUCUUUUGUGAGACGAAGAUUUCUUUACUUGAUCUGGUCGCUUAGAUCCUAAAAAAAUGUCUCAAGCUUGCUUUUUUUUUUUUUUUGUUUUAGAUUUUCCAUCUUCUCCUUAUCAUCGCUUGUGACAAUUAUAUUAUCUACAUGAAUAAUUUGUAUUGUGAUAUUCAUGUGUGUGGUAUGUUUAAUGAGCAAGGUAUGACUCCAUUGACUUUGACAAACCAACAUUUAAGUAAGGACUUGGUGAACUUCUCGAACCAUGUUCUAGGAGAUUGCUUCAACCUAUAUUGAUUUUUCCAAUCUACACACUUUCCUUUGAUUAAAAUGGUUCUCAAAUCCAGGUGGUAGGUUUAUGCAAACCUCUUCAUCCAAUUUUCCAUGUAGAAAAACAUUUUUUACAUCAAAUUAUUGUAAGGGCUAAACUAGAUUAGCUAUCUCGGUUAAUAGGACUCUAAUGGAGUUCAUCAUAGUGAUAAGGACAAAGAUUUCUUGAUAAAUAAUCCCAUAGGUCUUUGUGUGCCCCUUAGUCAGUAAUCUAGCCUUGCACCUCUCAUUUAACUCAUCCACCUUAUUUUUGAUGGUGAAAACCCACUUGCCCCCAUACUAGUCUUUUUCCUUGGGGUAAUUCAACCACUUCCUAAGUUUUAUUCUUAUGGAAUGUUCUCAUUUAAUGGCUUCCCUCCACUUUGGAUUGUUUAAAGCCUCUUUUACAUUUUUAGGAACAAAUUUUAUGGAGAAUUUAGUGGUGAAUGUCUUGUUGUUGGGGCUAGUUGAUGUAAAGAUAAAAAAUUUGAAAGGGGAUGUUUUUGUACAAGCUCUAACACAUUUCUAAUGAUAAUUGGAAUAUUCAAAUUUGUGUAAAAUAGAGGUGCAUAAAGAAGAAUGUUAGGAAUAUCUAUGUUUAGAGUUCAAGAUUGACUGCACGAGAGAGAAAUGGGAUAUUUGAUGUUGUCCUGCUUCCUCGAAUAGAUUAAAGAUCAAGUCCAUUUUCUGCUCUUUUUGCAUUAUUCCUGUCCACUGCAUUACACCGUCUGGUUUACCCUUUUUUUCCCUCAUUCUCCCUUGUGCAUCAUUAACUCUCUCUUUCACUGCAUCACUGAUCUGGUUGUUAGACAGAAAAUGAGGUGAUAAGAUCAUGUAAGGGAAGAUUAGGUGAUGGAUGGAUAGAAGAAGAAGGAAUAGGCAUGUAGAAAUGUAGGCAUUAAGGAAAAUAAAUUUUUAUUAACCUUCUUUUCUGAAUAAUACAUGAAGGAUACAAUACAAGUUUAUAUAGAGACCCCUCUAGCUAGAAAAUAGGAACUUCCCUAAAAAAUAGAGACUCCUCUAGCUAGAAAUAGGAACUUCCCUAAAAAAUGGUCUAUGAAGUCCCUUGGUUAGGAUGUCAGCCAGUUGCUGUGUAGUUAGAACAAAUGGCGUGCAUAUAAGACUGGGUUGAAGUUUUUCCUUUAUGAAAUGUCUAUCAAUCUCCACAUGUUUAGUCCUAUUAUGCUGAACUGGAUUAUGUGUAAUACUGCUUGCAACUUUAUUAUUGCAAUAAAGCUUCAAAGGGUAGAUUGUUGGUUGUCUUAACUCUUUUAGGACAUGCUUAAGCCACAUCACAAACCCCAUAUGCCAUCGCUCUAAAUUUUGCCUCCACAUUACUCUUAGCUACUAAACUUUGUUUUUUACUCCUCCAAGUAACCAAAUUUAUCCAAAUAAAUGUGCAAUGCCCUGAGGUCGAUCUCUUAUCAGCUACUGAACCAGCUUAGUCUGCAUCCAUGUGUACUUCAACUCUCCACUGCUUAUUCUUCUUAAAAAAUAGCCCUUUUUGUGGUGUAUUCUUCAAGUACCUUAAAAUUCUAUAAACUGCUUCGAGAUGCACUUCAAAAGGUGAAUGCAUAUAUUGACUUACCAUACUAACUACAAAGGCAAUAUCCAGUCAAGUGUGAGAUAAGUAAUAUUGGAAGAUUAUUAAGAUCAUUAAGAGACUCUACAUGUUUAAUAUUGGAAGAAGAAUAUGGUUUAGAUGGAGGCUUACCUUUCUCAAGGGGUGUGAUUAUAUCUGUUCUUGGGACAGAUUCAUGGCCUUACUAUAAAGUAGGUUCCUCCAUCCUUUUUGAAUAUGGUCUUGAGUAGACAUGACGCUCUUGAUUGUUUUUACUUGUAUUUUCAAUGAAUUCAGUAUUUUUAUGAUCCUGAUCAUGUGCUGACAUUAAGGUAGACUGUCCAAAUUUUCAAUAGCUAAAUCAUUUGUUCCCAAAGUUUGUCUACUACCUACAGACUCAUCAAACAUCGGUGGCUGUUUUUUUUGUUUUUUCUAGACAUUUUUCUUGGAAUUUUCAUGGAGUUUCUGAUUGCUGUUGAACUAACGGUGGCUGUAACAGUGGCUGGUCUAACUCAAACAACACAAUAGGAAUGAAAUCUACUCUUUUAUUCUCCCCUUGAGGAUGAUCAUGACUAAAGUAGGAUUUAGUUUCAAAAAAGGUGACAUCCAUUGUUACAAACAUUCUUUUAGUACAGGGAUCAAAGUAUUUAUACCCUUUUAGUGUUGAAGAAUAUCCAACAAAUAUGUAUUUGAAUGCUUUAGGAUCAAAUUUUCCACAGUUAUGAUUAUGGACAUGAAUGAAUGUAAUGCAAUAAAAAAUUUUCAAAGGUAAAUUCAUUGAAAUCUGUGAAGUAGGAAAACACAUGUUGAAAAAAUCAAUAGCAGUUUGAUAUUUUAAAACCUUGUUGGGCAUCCUAUUAAAAUAGCUUUGCCUUAAAGAUAUUUAGGAACUUUUGUUGAAAAGGUGAAUGAUCUAGCAACUUCUAAAAGAUGUCUAUUCUUUCUUUCUACCACUUCAUUUUGUUGAGGUGUAUCAACACAAGAACUUUCAUGUAUUAUGCCAUUUUCUGGAAAGUAGUUUUCUAACAAUUGAUUGGAGUAUUCCGUUCCAUUAUUAGUUUUAAAAUUUUGAAUAUUUGUUUAAAAUUGUGUUUUGACUGUUUUGUGAAAAGUUUUAAACAAUUAUGCUACUUUUGAUUUUUCUUUUAGCAAAUACGCCUAAGAAGGUCCCUAAACACCACUAUGUAUUACAAAAAAAGGUUUAGAGGCUUUAUAGGGUUGUGAAGGAAAAAAUGCAUGAUGAUGCUUUGCAAGUUCACAAAUUUCACAAUGGAAUGAAGAUGAAUCUUUAUUAAUAAACAACUUUGAAAAUAGAUGUUUCAAAUAUUGAAAAUUGGGAUGUCCUAACCUAAAAUGCCUUAACACUAUUUCAUUCUCACUAGAUAUUAAAACAAGUUCAAAACAAGUACUUUGGGCUUGUCUACCUAGUUUGAUUCCAUCUUCAAAGAAAUAAAGUCCUUCAUAGCAUUGCCAAUCAUCUUCCCUGAGUUCAAAUCCUAGACUUCACAUUGAGAUGAGAAAAAAUUAGCUUGAUAGUUUAAAUCAAAGGUUAAUUUACUAAUAAACAAUAAAUUUCAAGACAAAUUAGGAACAUGAAGGACAUUAUGGAGUGUAGGAAGUGAGGGAAUUUUGAUAGAUCAUUUUCCAACAAUAGUUGAAAGUGAUCCAUCUGCUAUUUUUAUUUGUUUGUUUCCUGCACAGGGACUAUAAGAAGAAAACAGAUUUGAAGAACUGGUCCUAUGAUCGGUUGCACUAGAAUCUAUGAUCCAUGGGCAAUUUGAAUCAAGGCUAAUAAGGGGUGUGGCAAGAUGAUUACCUUUUUGGGCUAAGGAACAAGAAAAGGAUCGACUUAAAGAGACCCGAGAUUGAAGAAGUUUGUACAAAUGCUCUAUUUGAUCCUUCGUAAAAGGAGAUGUUUCUAAGGACGGUUGUAGCCCUUGUUCAUCGCUUUCAACUUGGUAGGCACGACUCUCCCUGCCAUGUUUCUUCCUUUAGUUUGAUGGUUUUCUGUGAAUCUUCUAGAAGGUGUCACGAGUAUGCUAGGGUUUGUUACAGUGGUCAUACCAUGGUUUAUCAUCCUUUUUAGAAUUCCUUUUUUCUCCUUGAUCAAAUCCCUUUGUAACAAAGGCAAAACUAUCAAAUUUUGUUUUAGUCCUUGGUGACUCAAGGUUCAUCGUAACAAAUCUUCUAGCCUUCUCUCUUCUAACUUUAGAAAAACUUCUUGAAGAGAUGGAAAUCGUUUUCUCCCCAAGAUUUGACCUCUCACUUCAUCAAGGGAUUUUUUUGAUAAAGAUCCUAUGCUCUAAUACCAUGUAGGCUUUGAGGAAAAUAAAUUUUUAUUAAUCCUAUUUUCUGUAUAAUUCACGAAGGAUACAAUACAAGUUUAUAUAGAGACUCCUCGAGCUAGAAAAUAGGAACUUACCUAAAAAAUAGAGACUCCUCUGGCCAUAAAAUAGGAACUUACCUAAAAAAUAGAACAAGAAACUAACUAAAAAAAAUCCUAACUAAAUUUGAAUUUAAAAAUAAAUAUCACAACUCAUCCUUUUUCCUAAAAAUAACAACAAUAUUCCUAGAUUCUCGACAAGAAAUAUUCUUAUAUACUAAAUUUCUUCUCCUAAAGAUUAGUCUUAGAAUAGUAUGGUUGUUCUUGAAAAAAGCACACAUCCAUGGUGAGAAAUCUUUGUUUUGUAGGAGUAUAAAAGCAUUUGUAUUCCUUUUGAGUGGGAGAGUAUCAUAGGAAUAUACAUCUAAUAACACUUGCAUCAAGUUUUGUUCUUUCCCUAUAAGAAUUGCAUCUCCUUAAUAUACUUUAGGAACAUUAUGAGAGAACAUUAAAGCCUUGGCCACUUCCAAAAAAAGUCUAUUUUUCUCUUAGCCGCCCAUUUGUUAGGGUAUACCAACACAUAUAAUUAGGUGUGUGAUCCCAUUUUAAGAAAAGAUGAACUUAGGGUACCAUUUAGAUAUUCUCUCCAUUAUUAGACUUUAAAACUUGUAGUUUAGCAUAGUUUGGAUCAUUCUAUGGAAAUUUAGGGAGGUAGGGACAAUCUCAAAUUUAUCUUUGAGGAGAUAAAUUCAAGUAUCACAAGCACAAUCAUCGAUAAAACUAAUAAAACCAUUUGAAGUUACCUAAAAUUUAGGGUGGUAGGGACAAUCUCAAAUUUUGGAUGAGCAAGAUAGUUAUAAGGAGUACGAUGUCCAAAUCAGUGGGUUGUAGGAAUUGUAUUGUAUGCUGAUAUGGUACGUAAGCUGAGUAAGGAGUUCAUAUACAAGUUACCUAAAACAAAAGGUUCACCCACUUUUGAUGUUGACGUCGGUGUUGGUGUGGUUGGUUGCUUUCACUUGGUCAAAGAAGGCCAUGAAGAUGAUUGGAGAACAACUUUAAAGACAAAGAAAGGUCUCUUUAAGUGUACAAGAUUGACAGAGUUGAAAUUUUUGCAAGUCACAUGAUGGACAACUCACAAUUCUACAUUUUACAUGUAAAAUUUAUAUCAAGCAGAGUACUUUAUUGUUUGUAAUCAAUCCAUUCACAUGGGAAGAAAAAGAACAAAAUGGUGGAAGAGUUUGCUUUGGAUUUCUAUACAUCGAGGAAGUCAAUGAAACUCGAUGUUGAGUUUCUUCCUAGUUAGAGGGAAUGGUGAAGAAUUAACCCCCAGGGUUUAUUCACAACAAAAGAAAGACAUUGGUAGUUUGGUUUCAUUGUUUUAUUUAGUCUUUUUGUUAUAGUAGGAUUGAUAUUUAAUAGUUUACUUUUGUUAAGCUUUUUAUUUUAUUUUAGGUAGUGGCUGACUUUUUUGUUAAGUUUCUAUUCCUUUUAUUCUUCUUAUUAGCAUUAGGAAUGUUUCUAUUUCUUUUAAUUAGUGAAUAAUAUUCCUUUCCUAUUUUUGCAAGAAAUAUAAGAAAUUAGGAAAGUUAUCCUAUCAAGGAAGAGAGUCAUAAGAGUCUAUAUAUACCUUUGUAGUCUUUCGAAGUAAAGAGGAGAAUUUUAAUAAAAUUUCAGCAUCUAUUAUGCUUUCCUUUGAAGGUGUGACUACCUUCUUCCUAAGUGUGAUUUGCCUUGGAACCUUUUUGUGAUUGUCAAAGACUAUAUAUGUAUGUAUUCCUUUUUGUUGAUUGGUUGGGUUCUUGUUGAGGUUGUAUUAGCCCCUUCUGUUGGGUUGUUCUUUUUCCCCUUUAUGCCAUUUUGGCGGUGGUUGUAUAUGUAUUGUAUACCUUGAGUCAAUCUUUUGGUGCCUCUUCUUAUAUCUUCCUUUUUAUCUAAAAAAAAAAAAUUCCUUUUUAUAUUUUUCUGUCAUCUUUUAUUCUUUUCACCUCAUUCUAUAACUUAAGAAAUCGUAUAUUGCUUGAAAUUUUAAGAUUGUGCAAUAUGUUUGCUUGAAAUUAUAGGAUCUCAUUAUAUCAUCUCAGCCCCUUUUUAACUGCAACUUUGCACUUUUUGACAUUAGAUAUGAUUUUAUUUCAGACAAAAUCAGGCCUUCUGAUGUAGGUCUUGAACAGGAGGCACAAUGUGCACGGGUAUGGUCAGGUCCCAUGCAUCAGUGUAAUGGCAGCCAUCCAUCACUACCACCAAUCAAAUACCUGCAUUUACAUGAGUGUGACAGCUUUUCUGUAAGUAUUUGACUCUAGGUUUUCCAUUGUUAAUAGAAUUCAAUAUUUUACACCUGGUUUUCUGAACUUAGGUUAUGUUUGGUUCUAAAAACUAUGAGGUAAAGGAAAAGGAAGGGAAGAAAAAGGAAAGAAAGUGCAAGUUUAAGUCCGAUACAUUUUCCUGCAUCUUUCCCCUGCUCUAUUGACCUUUCCCUUGCUGUUUCCUCGUCCAGACAGGCCCUUAAUGUUCUGAAACUUGAAAGCUAGAUAACAGAGACUCACUGGUUUUUGAAUUUUCUUGCAGAUAGGAGUCUUUUGCAUGCCACCUUCCUCUAUUAUACCCCUUCAUAAUCAUCCUGGAAUGACUGUGUUGAGCAAGCUUCUAUAUGGUUCAUUAUAUGUAAAAUCAUAUGAUUGGCUUGAUUUUCCUGCAGCUGCUGAUCCAUCACAAGGUGUGCUUUUUUUAGCAUAUCAUAUCUCCCACUUUGAUUAUGACAAAUGGUGCUUUGAUGCUUUGAAAUGACACUCAGAACUAUGCUCUUGUUCCUUCAAAAUCAAGUAAUGCCCUGAUUCUGGAAUUUUUAUUUUUCAAGUAGGAUGUUUAUUGUUGUUGCGAAGUGAAAUUGUUUACAUGAUUGUAGGGACCUUCCUUCCUAUGUAGUGUUUGUAGGGUGUUUUAGGCUUUUGGAUUUUCUUUGUUCUUUGUUUUGUUCUUUUCUUCCUACUUAGCUUGGAAUAUGGCCUAUUCUUCAUCAUACCCUCUCUUUAUGUUAAUAAAACAUUUGUUUCCUAUCAAAGAAAAAGAUGCCAAACCACUGUAGCAGGGAUGUUCAUUCCACUGCAGUGAGUUGCUGUUAAUGCUACCAUAGCAGUGUACUGAAUGAGGAUUUUGCAUCCUUUUGUGAGUCCUUAUUAUGAACUCAAAACUAGAGGUUAUGAUUUUUUAAUUCAAGGGAUCUGAUAGAUUAUUUUGUGUUUAGUGUUCAGUGGUUUAUAAAAGCUUUGUACUCGAGUUAUUAGUUAUUUAUUUAUCUCUUUAGGUCCCAGAGGAAUUCCACUAAUUUAAUGAAUGAUCAAGGAGUAUUUUUAUCUUCAAACUGUGAAUGGAUUUGUUGAAUUUUGUUGGAAAAUUUGAUAGAAGCCUUUUAAGAUUGGGCAGCUACUCUGGUGAGGUUUAUUGAUAGGCAUGACAUGAUGAAUGAAACGAGUUUGAUUUGCUAUUAUGAACCUUACUCAUCUUGCUUAGAUUUCAUGGACGGUUGUAUGGAAUGUAUUUGAGAUGCAGGAUAAACUCUUAUUAUUAGUUUUAAAGCAAUGAAAUUAUGGAUAAAACAGAUGUAUUACAGUGACUCAGGAUGAGCUUUUUGGUUAGCAAACAACUCUUAGAUAAGGAAGCACUACAGUUGUUGCGUACAUGAACAAGGUUUAAGGAUGUAUGAAUUCUAGGUAGGGGUGUUGAUGAUCCAAGCCAAACUCUCCUCCAACCUAAGUCAGGAUUGCAAGUGUCGCUAAAUGGUAACACAUGUCUUCAAUUUUGACGAGUUGUUUCAAUUGGCUUUUGUGAUUGAGAAGAAUAUGAAGUAGAAUCUUACUAGACUGUUCUCAAGUCUGCUAGAUAAACCCGAAAAAUUUCAAUAAGGUUUGUAGAGGCUUUUAUCCUCCUCAGUGCAUGGUAACCUCCAUGCAGGCUUUAAACCUCAUUCAAUGGAUGACAUCAACACCUAAUGGAUUUUUGAAGGGAAAAGAGGGAUGGCCUUUGCAAGUGUUGAGAGGACCAUAUGCAUGUUAGUACUAAACCACUGGGGGUACCUGAUUUAGACAAUGAUAAUUUGUAGUGAAUAUCUAAGUGUGUGCUCUUUGAUGUUGAUGUUGUCUAAAAUUGGGAGGUAGAUGCCACUCUUCUCUCUGUUUUAAGUUCUAAUACAUGACAGGUGAAAAAAAUAAAAAUAAAUAUGUUUGUAUUGAGAUGAUGAUUUUUGAUGUUAUGUCCUAGCCUUACUGAUAUCUUUUGGGAGAUCUUUUAAAUGGUAACUUGUCCUUUUUUGACAAUGUGCCAGUCCAACAAAAAGCAUGUCACCAAUUCCAGGCUAAAAUUUAUCUUUGACAUAAUUUUUUCUUUGUUAUAGGCUAAUUUUUCUUUGGUUAGUUUCUUAUGCAUAUUUUUUUAGAUUAAGCUUGAUUUUUAAUAUUAAGAUUGAGAUAAUUAAGCUUGAUCAUGCUUGAUUUUUCUAAAGCUUGUAGGUUCCCAAAGUUUGUCUAUUUUGUUGUCUUGGAUAGAUCACCUAUGAGGGGGGCAAUGUGAUAGGCAUUGCUUAGAAUUUGAACAUAAUGGAUAGGUAGAGAUGUAUUUCUAAGCUUCUAGGUGAGUUUUUAGCACCUUGACAUGGUUGCACAACACCAAGGCUUCAUGUGGUGGCACCUUGCACCCAUUAAGUGCCUAUGACAUGUGGGGAGACAUGUCAUGCACGAGGCAAGGUGAUGAAUGAGGCUAAGGAUCAUGUCAAGGCUUGGUAGUGGCAGCACACAGGUGUGCACAAGCAAGGCACCAUGUGGGUGGCUUGACCUAACAAAAAUUCAAGUGCGGGAUUUUUUAUGAUGGAAAAUUUUCCUUUAAAGAGGAUGCCUUGAGUUAGGGUUUCCAAGUGACAAAAUGAUUUUUCAGAUUUUCUAUUUUUUUAGAAAAUUCAUUAUGCUUGGUCAAACAGCUAUGAUAUCUCCUCCUAACACUCUGGGAAUGACUUAAAACGUUCAAGGAGGGGGGUGGCCCACUAAAGGGUGGUGAUGGUGACAAAUUAUGCCACAUCAAGAGCAUGACAUGAGGGCAAACAUGAGCAAGGAUUGAUGGUGAGCCUUGCUAGCUUGCAUGCAUGAGCGCAAUGCCAUGUGUGGUGCAACCCUUGGGCCUUAAUAGGGGGUUGCGGUUAUGGUGCAUGGCAUGAGGAUGCGUGCUUCGGUUGGAAGGAUCUAUGUGGUUAGCAGACACAUGGACGAUGAGCUAAGAAGAGGACUUAGCACCAAGGCAAGGUUGCAUAAGCAUGUGGGCCAAGAGAGGGCUCAAUACACAUGGACUGCCUAGAAACACAAGUAACAGGUUGGGUGGCACAUAAGGCCACCUAGACACAUAAAUGGCAUAAAUGGGCUUGAUGUUCGUGGGCUCAACAAGACGCAUGGGUUGGCACUAAGCAUGACACCUGUAGCGCACCUUGGCAUUGAGGCAAGCCCAAGUAAGACGAGGAAUGGGAGAUUGACAACUGAUAGGCUGAGAUGUGCUAGACACUUGACAUGAGCCAAACAAAUCUUUGCAACACAAGAGGCAUGUGGCAAGCAAAGGUGCAAGCAAGCAACUAAGUCCGUAUGAUAGAGGCAUGACAAGAGUGGGUUGUUGAGUUUGGGAACAGGUGGCAAAGUUAGAGGCAAGCAACACAUGCAACUAGACAUGUGGCAAAUGACUGAAGCCUUAGGAUAGGCUGAAGCAUUUGAAUUCAAAAGAGUCAAUCUCCUAGAUGAGGGGGAGUUGGUUGGCUGAUGGAUGCCUCUAUAAAUCGUGUGCCUACUAGUCAUUCUCUGCAUCAACUCACCAAAGAGAUUGUGGGAAUCUUGUUAAAAGAACCAGGGUUGUUCCUUGUAAAUUCUGUGGAGUAAUAUACAAGUUAGAGUGUUACUCUGUAAUCUUGUGUGGGCUGUGUGAUUUUCCUUGUUGCAUCUCGUGCAGGUCUGGUUAGAGAAGGUUGGCUUAAAGGGUUUUUAAGAUCCACACAACGUGAAAAAGUAGUGGGGAAAUUUUGUAGUUGUGACAUUAACCAAGUAAUUUAAAUGAAAGAUUCAAAGCUUAUGAAAAGGUCUAGACCAGCCAUGAUUGAUGAUACACGGUUGGAUGGUGAAAAAGCAUAUAUGAAAAUGAGUGGAACUGAAAUAAGUUGUUGAGCUGGAUGAGUAACAAGUUCAAAGUUCAUAGAAUGGGAAAUUAAUGCAAUUGUUUGAACCUGAAACACCACUUUUCAGUGACAGAUGAAGAAAAGUUGAUGAGAUGGACGGUUAUUUAAAAUGGACACGUUCCAUUAAGUACUAAGGUGCAAGUUGAAAGCUCGGAAUGGAUACUGUGUUGAGGAGAUAUUUGUUAUCUAUUAUUUUCUUGGUACUUUGUGAAUUUCACUUAACAAUAGUCAUGACCUUCAAUAGGUAGAAAUGGGAGAUUGGACUGAUCUUAGAGGGUUGGAACAUGACUUACUCUGGACCAUGUUGUAUCAUAGUUUAAUGUUGAUUAUAUUUAGUUGGUUUUCACUUGUGGGAUUGACAGCAAAUAUUACAAUUGAAACUGCAUUUUGGUUUUCGUUUUUAUGGCUUAAUUGGCUGUUAAUUUUUUUACUGAAAUGUCUGUAUUUUGCUCUGUUACUUGUUUUAUCUUCUUUUUACUAAGGUUUGAUUGUUAUAUGUGCAGCAAGACCGGCAGAGCUUGUUAGGGAUACUGAGAUGACAGCGCCUUGUGGGACAACAAUCCUUUAUCCAUCGUCUGGGGGCAACAUCCACACUUUUGAAGCUGUAACUCCCUGUGCUAUCUUAGACAUCCUGUCUCCACCUUACUCUUCAGAGAAUGGGCGUCAUUGCACUUAUUUCCGGAAUUCUCCAAGAAAGGAUCUACCCGGUAAAAGAAUUUAUUUUCUAUUAACCUGGUUCAUUAGCAUUUAUUUUUUACAUUUCCUCUCUGAAACAAAAGGAUUUGCCUUUUGAUUGUUCCUCUCAACUACUAACUCUUUUUUAUUUGUGUUUAAAUGAAGGCGAACUUCAGUUGAAUGGAAUGACCGUUUCUGACGUGACUUGGUUAGAAGAGUUUCAACCCCCUGACAACUUUGUGAUUAGGAGGGGGCAGUACAGGGGACCCGUCAUCAGACGUUGAGAAUUCUUGUUUUGGGUGUGCCGUACAUUUGAAUGAAUUAGGAUUUUCCAUAUUAGGAAACAUUGGGGGGAAGCUCUGGUAUAUGGGUUGUCAAUAGCCUUGGCAAUAAUUAAUCUUAUUGGCUAUAUAAGUUUAGGUAUUUGGAAUGUACAUAUUUAUAUACCAUUAUAGUACUUCCAUUCACUGACCUCACCUUUAACUAGUGGAACAGUCACCGGAAUUUGUGAGAACUUGUGUCUGAUAAAGUUCUUAUGGGGAAUUUUUCUCCCAUUGCAAUAGGCAGAUGCAAUCUUUUUGUCGCCCUAGUUAAGCAGCUGGGUGUAGAACUACUUUCUAGUCCUUAAAUCAUCUUGCGUUGCUCAAGCUCAGCUUUGUUUAACAGGUGAAAACCAAAGCUCAAUUUGUCACCUUCAGUUUUUUCUGUCUCUUAUGUUUUGGAGAAGUCAGACCGAUGAUUGGCCUGACUAAAUAACUAAUAUGUUAAAGAUCUGCGCUGUGAUCUAUAUCAAUGCCAAUUAGUAAUUGAUAUAUCUUCACAGAGCUCGGGUUUUGACACUUUCGAGGCCAUGGCUAAGGAGCUAACUGAUGUGUUUGAGCUCCAAGUAUCUAUGCACAGAAAGCUACCUUGGUUAUCAGCAAGAAUUAAUUGCCCUGUAAUUUAAUCUGAUGCUGAAGUAAAAAUUUGGGAUUGUUACAUAAAUGUCCUGGACCAAUUGCUAGUGGGAAAGAUUGCAAACUCCCCAAUCUUUAGAAUAAAAAGAAUGGAUUUAAGUUGUUUCUUAAUACAGGUUGAGGUUUUAUAUGGUAUGUUGUUAAUGAUUGUUGUCAUGACAUCAUGUGAAUCCAUUAACCUCAAUGCCAAAUAGAGGUUUAGAGAUUUAGGAUUGUGUGUGCUUAUUUCUUGGCAAGGGUUUAGGGUUGAUAUGGGAUGUAUCAUUCUUCCAAAUAGGAUCACUAAAUUAGGCAUUUGCCUCAUAUUUACAUGAGUAUUUCAAAGAUUAAGAAUGAAUUCAUAUAGAUCAGAACGUUCCAAUAGCAAUUCUAAAAUAAAUGAUAAAAUCAAUAUAAAUGGACUAAAAGAAAUUGAUCAAAACCAGUAAUGGUAAAAAGAAGAAUCAUACUCAAAUUAGCUGAAAAUGAAGGAAAACAACAAACAAGAAGCAGCAACAGAUGAGUAAAACCAUACCAAGUUGGUUGAAGGCAAAGAUUGAUGAAGAGCAUUUGAAUGCAUCACCCUACCAAGUGAACCAGAAAGAGCCAAACUUUGAUCCAAAUAAUGAUGUGGGACUUUGGGUUUUAAUAGAAGGGCAAUGGGUUUAAGUUGCAGACCAGAAACAGUGGUAGCCCAUGACCUAAAAUUACAGUGGGCUGUGUUACAGGAGGUUCAUGGCACUCACACGUUCACAUCAUUCUUUUUUCUCUUCUUGUUUUUGUUGUUAGUGCAAAAAGUAAUAGCUGAGUUGACCAAAUUUGAGAUGUGAUUGGUGGGAUUCUCAGCUAAAGACACUUGAAACCUACCAUUGGAGCAAUGAGCAUUAGUGAAUUACUUCCCAGAUAAUUAUGAGAAGCAGUGGAUUAUAAAUACUGUCAAGUUGAACGUGGAGUGCUGAGCCAUACCGCGGCUCACCUGGUUUUCAUGCUGCAACUUGGAAUUAUCAAAAUGGAAAAUACAAAGUGGUAGUUAUCUUGAUGGGAGGGUGUAGUUGAAUGAAGUUUGGUGUGACCCAGCAUCUAAGCUUACCCUAGGCCACCACUGGCCAAUCAUGGGUUUCAGUGGCUAGCUAGCCAUGUGGUUGAAUUCUCACCCGUGAGUCUGAUUGGUUGAUGGCAUUGUCCACAGAAUAUCCAGGCUCAAUGAACCAGCAUCUUGUUGUGGGAACCUAACACAAGAAUGUGCUUGUGUCACUGCUCAUGAGAAUUUCUUUAGUCUCAUCCACCACUUCAAACUCAAAUUUUUUAGAACGUUCUAAAAACUGUUUUGUUAGUUACAAAACCCGUUUUCUAAGUUAGAAAACUGGUUUAAUAAAUUACUUAUAAAAGCAGUUGUUUUAGCAUUUGUAUUUUGAAAUAUUUUUAGUUAUUUUUUAUAGAGUUUUUUAAAAAAAAAUUUUAAUAAUAAUUUAAAAAAUAGAUAAUAUUUUGAAAGCUUUUGUAUUGGACAUCAGUGUACAAUACUCUAUGGAGAAUAAGCUGAGAAAUUCCUUUUUAUAUGUAUAUUAGAGUUUUCAAACAUAAUUUUAUUCAUUAAAAAUAGUAGAUAAAUAUUUUCCAAAACGGUUCUAAAAAAAUAUUUUGAAAAUGUUUUCAAACAAAUUCUUAAUUUCUAACUGUCUUUUCUUUUGCUAUUUGGAAGUAGGUUUUUAUUCAUGAAAUAUGAAAAUUAAGAAAUGUUAAACAAAACUAUAUAUAUUAGGGAGUUUGUUCAAGAAAAAUUUGUUUGAUUGAGCAUUUCAAUGUUUGAAGACAUAAUUAACUUACACUAGAACAAAAUUAUAGAUAGUGGUCUUCUACACCACUUUUUGGGCUUCAAAGUUCACCAUGUUCUACAGCACAAGAAACUACACCCAUGGUAUGGUGGGCUGCUGCGUACAUCCUCUUGACUGGUAUUUAGUUUAUAACUUUCCACGUGAUGAUUUCAGCCCAUUGUGCAUGACCAGCCCAGAGGCAGAUGGACAGUCAAGAGUCAAGAGUACUCCAAGAGAGAGAGGCAGUGGGCAGUGGCCACAAGGAAAAGAGAAUUUUUUGAGAACGUAAAUUUGAUUAUAAAAGGGUUUAAAGUUUAAGCUAAAACCCAGAAGAGGAUAAACAUUAAUGAGCACACUUCUCAGUUGAAACAAGCCAAUUCACUUCUUUUGGUGCUAGUUUCCAUGCUACUUCUUGACUGAUUCUUACCCUAAGAUUCAUCUCCCUCCUUCCGCAAAACAUGGGCAUGUGAUCUACAACACAUACAUACAAACACACACACAGAUCGGAUACAUUGCCUAUGUUCGCGGCGACACUUUAGCCAACACCAAGCCAUUCACACCUAGAUUCUUUGCAUUAUAGCCUUUUUAUAUGGAGUUUAUGAAGAAAGAGAUCAGUAUGAUUAUUCUCCAAGUCCAAAACCAGAUGGGUGUGUAAGCUUCCCUCAUUCUAUUUUACUUGCUUUUGAGAUCUCUCUCAUCUUAAUUUUUAUGCUUUGGGAAUAUUUGGCCAUUUAUUGCAUGUGUUAGCAUUUUGGUUUUUUAAAUAUUGUAGCUAGGAGUUAGGUUUGGAGGUGUUUAUAUUAAUAAAACACCUAGAAUAAUGCUAGGUUUUCAAUUAGAGUCUGCCACAUUGUACAAAUAACUUUAAUUUUUACAAAAAUAAAAAAUAAAAAAUUAUGAUUCUUUUAAUGAAGACUUUAUAAACUUAAUUGUUUUAAUUUCCAAGUGCCUGAUAACCCUAAGGCUAUAUGGCAUUGAUGUGAUUAAAGGGUGGGUAGGAGUUGAUCAUCCUUUCAUGAAUUCAAACUUGGAUAGUAAUUGGGUUGGGUAUAUUAUGUCAAUGGAAGUCUGCUUCAUCUCUGCAGGUUUGGCUAGCAAAGACUUGCAAGCUCAAAAAAGGAGUUGGCACUGAUCAAAGACUAGUACUCUUAUAGACUAAUUGGUUUAUCAGCAUCGAUUGAUUGGUUCAUUAGAAGGUCAAGUACAUUCUAUGAUGAUAACAUCUAUAUGAACAACAUACUGUAUGUGCACAAAAAUCAGAUUAGAUUAAACAAGUUCUAAGAUCUGAUUUAUCUACCAUUUUCAAUUUGGACCUCCAAGGCCUCGUUAUCGGUAUCGCAGAACCCAAGUGGCUAAAAACAAAUGUGUAUAAUAAACUAUCCAUGGUUUUUGGUAGAACGACAUAGCCUCGGUCUCCAUCCUGCUUCUGUAAUUGAGAAAGUAUGAUGGAUGAAGAACGUCAUCAUUUCUUGCAACUUUCAUGGGCCCUCUAUGUAUGAAUUAUAUUAUUCUUUCAUUGUUUUAUCUUUUUAGUUUAUUAAUCUUGGUGACAAGGGAUCAUAACUUGCUAGAAAUGGCUACUGAUCUUGUUCUUGAAGCUUCACUAUGACACGUAUAUAUACCUAGUUUUACAUUAUAGAACCCUAUGAUAGAUACAAGCUGAAUCGACAAUGCAUGACACUGAAGCAUGGUGAUUAUGAGAAAUAAUAUUAAUGCUUGUAUGUACAGACCUAGUUAUUGAGUUUUAAUUUCUAUCUCUUUAUUUUUCUUCACAUAUAAUUUAGAUUCAUUAUAGAUUGUCACCGAAAUGAAAAUAUAUAGAUGAAAUUUGCAACUUAGUGGUGGUUUGAUAAACUAAUUUAAUAACUUAAAAUGAUUUAAUAAUUUAAUUCAAGUCAUUAAAUAAAUUAAGGUAGUAUUUGUUUUUUUGCUUUUUUGUUUAAAGUAGUUUGUUUUCAAAAUUUAGGUAGUUUGUUUUUCUAUUUUUUUAUGACUUAUUAUAAACUUUUUAAUAAAUAGAAAAAACUAAAAUAUGUAGUUUUUUUUAAUUAAAUAGAAAAAAUAACAUAUUGGAUUUUUUUACUUUUUAAUACUUAAUAGAAAUAAAAUACUACAAAAAUAAACAAUCUAAUAUUUAACCACUAUUAAGGAUUAAAGUUCUAUUUAGAAUUAAGUAAAAAAACAAGCACCAUCUAAGUAUGUUUAGUAAAAUGAUAACUUAAAGUUAAAAAUAAUUUUAAGUUAUAAGUAAAAACGAUUAAUCCAUUUUUAAGUCUACAUAUUUAUUUUACCUUCAUUUAUCUUAAUUAUUUUCAUGAUCUCCUUUGUUUUUUCAUAACCUUCACUGUUACUCAAUCUUUUAUACCCUAAUUAUAAUUUAUGAGGAUAAAUAUGUUAAUUUAAAAUUUUAAAAUAUGUUUUAAGUUAAUUUGAUCAAACAAACUUAAUACUUAAAGUAAAAUUAAAUAAUAAAUUUUAAGUUAACAACUUAAAUUAUUAAGUAAUAAAUGUUAAGUUUUAUCAUACAUCCCUUACUAUAUCUCUAAAUUUUUGGGUUGAGUGAAGUGAAAAUAGGACAAAUUUCAUGUAACUCAAAAAAUUAGAAGUGGUUUAUGAAAUUCUUCUUGGCGUAGGUUUUGGUCAUAGAUUAUUGGAAUUGGAAACCUUUUGCAAGUGGGUUCGGGGGAGUUUCUAUACAGAUUUACAGAGAAAGUAGUGGAUGGAAAAUGAGGCAAAUUCAUCCAUGAAAUUUAGGGCUUGAUGCAGUAGCUAAGACAUACAACUUUGCUAAUGAAACUUCCUCAUCUGGCGUAUUAGAGCGCAUUGGUGUAUAUUCCACCAAAGAUUCUCCGUUUGGUUUGCCGAUGCAAUAGAAUAAUGAAAAUGUCAACUCCCCAUGCAGGAGAAGACAAAACAUAAAUGGGUUAAUCGGUGAUUAGGGAAAGAUGAACAAUUCCUUAAUUAUUUUCUUAACUACACAAAACCCGAUUAACCCGAUUGAUUAAUUUCCUCACCUCUCCUGCAUAGCCUUUACCAUUCAAACUCUUACUUUAAUCCUUCGAAUAUUUGUCUUCAUUGCCUUAUUGGAAUCCAUGAAUCUUUCUCUGUCUCUCUCUCACACACACACAUCUUCACACAUAAAAAUGUAUUCACACAUACCUAUAGUCAUAUUAAUAAAUGUCACACAUAUCUAGUCAGGUUUCGAGUGUCUUUUAGCUAAACCUAAUCCCUUCAAUGAUUCCAAUAGUGACCUCUUCUCUUUCCAAAGACUAAAUAAACAAUCUCUGUCGUGUGAGGACAAAAUUUUCAAAUUCUACCUAAAAUGCCUUGGAAAGUAAAUCCUUGGACAGUAGGUAGGAAAAUAGAGAAAAAAGACAACAUAAGGGUAUAACUAAUUAAUGCUUUAUGGGAGACAACAGUUCUCUCUUACCUAUCAUCUAUCAUUCUUUCACUUUUUCCCCUUCUAUAACUUGUACUGUCUCCUUCAAUUUCUAGACCAAGUGUUGGGUGCCUCAACAUUACCAGCUGCUAGCAUUUUUUAUUUUGCAAAUUAGAUCUUUGGAAUAGGGUGAUUCCAUACUAAUUUUUGGUUUAUUAAUGAAUAUAUUUUCAUUAAUUUACAAAAAAGAGCAAGAUUGUUUGUAUUCCCUUUUAUGAACUUUCUGAAUGUCUUAAUUCAAAAACUCUAUUUUAUUACUUGGCAUGUACUUUAAGCAGUGUAAAGGACUGGAAGCUCAUGAGUGGAGUGCAAACAUUUAGGAAUACCCUUUUCUUUGAUCAUUCAAGUAAUCAGGAGAAACACACAUAAAAAGGUAGAAAAUGUUUGUUGAUUCUCUUUCCAAGGAGCUCCAUCUAUUACCAAGAAGUAUGACUAGCUAAGUAUGAGCUUGCAUACCACAAAACAUAUACCUAUUUUUAAAUAUUGGAGUAUGAUCACAAUGACUGUGAUGUGGGUCUCACUCAAUAAUUUAUCUAGUGAGGAAAAGGUUUAUAUACAUAUACUAAAAUCAUUAUCAUUUGCUGGGAGAAAGUUCACCGUCUUGUAUUUAUUUAUUUAUUUUCUGUAAAUGAGCUUAAUUAGUUAAAAAAUAAUAUCAUGAAGGGUUGUAUUAUGAUCUUCUAAUAAUUCACUAUUUCUUUUUGUAAUUACGUAUAAACUGGUUCUUGAAUUCAUCAACACUUCUCUUAUAAGAAUCCCAAUAGAAAAAAUGCCAACAGAUAUUUUUCUAAAGGUUGAUUGAUGUUGACACGUGAACUAAGAUUCUAGGUAGCAGAAGGCUAGUUUCUUGGCUAAUAUGGGGUUUCAUAUAUAUACCAGUUCUCAUUAAUUUUCAGCUACUCAGAAUCCAUUCUCUAAACAUCUUAGCUUCCAGUUAUUUUGUGCUCAACAAAGGAAACUUUACAUAUAUGUAUGUUAGUUUAUAUAUCCAUAUAGAAGGAUGACAUGGUUCUAAAAACUUAAUAACUAGGCAAUAAAUCUUGGGUGGAUGAUCAACAAUCUGAGGUUUCAAAAACAUAUAGUUUUUAUUCAACCUUUGUUAUUUGCCAAUUUAUCCCUAAAUAAGUUUUAGGUAGGUAUUGUGCUCCGUGUGACAAGGAAUCUUUCAUAUUAAUUAUAUGACUAGAUAGAUAAUAUAUAUGCAUAUAUAAUCCCCUAGUAGAAUUGCCCAGCUAGCUGUGACGUAGCAAUGCUUAUAGGGAAACCUAAGACAUAAAUUUAAUCACAUCACUUAAAAAAAUCACAGUAAUUUAUUUAGUCCCUAAAUCAAUACUUAGUUUUCAAAGAGGUCUUGAGAACUGGUUGUCUUUGGCACCUUUUAUAUUGAAUUGUGCUUUGCUAGAUUAGAAAAUUAAUCAGGCUAGCUAUAAGUAGCCUUUACCAUCCAGAUAUCAUUUCCACAUCCAGAGAUUCGGAAUACAGUUCUUUGUGAGCUGUGCUGGCGAACACUUGGUCUGAAGCCAAAGCAUGAUUUCUGGUUAUAUAUGGAUUAUUAAUUAGAACCACUAGCAACAGUUAAUUUCAAUCAUUGAUCAACUAAAAAAUUCUACACUAAGCUGAAUCUUUAAAUUAGAAACCAUACACUUCUUUUUUCCUUUUAACUUGGAAAAGAUAGGUAGGUAAUACAUGAUCAGCUAUUGUUUUUAAUGUACUUUAGCUCUACAUACUUAACUGAUAAAACUCAUAAAAGAAUAUGUGAUAGUUCCUUGGGGAGACGUGGUUGAGUCUUAGCUUGCCUAAGACCUUAACUUGUGUCAUCACAUUUGGUCUCAUCAGACAUGACUCGAGGUGAGAAACCAUGAAUGAAAUUCUUUCUUCUCAUCUGCAGAUGUAUGCUACUGAGUCAUGUUAACUCUUACUGCAUCCAUGAUUGAUUUGUUAUUUGUUUUAUAUGUUUGUAAUCAGAUUUAGGGUUAUUGCCCUAAAACCUCACAAUUUUUUUUUUUUAAUAAAGCUGGAAGCAUUGUGUGCAUGUUUUUACCCACCAAAUUCAGACUAUUUUACAGUUAACAUAGGCUAAUUUGGCUGGCCCAGCACCAUGGAUAAUAAUAAGAUCUAUUCAAAGGGUUUCAAAUUUCCAGAUCAGAACAAUGAAUCAAAGUGGUGGGAAUAUAAACAACAUAAACUAAAGCCAUAGGGAACAACAAUAAGAACAAAGGGACAGAGAAAUAGUGUUAAAAUAUAGGAAGAAAGUCAUCUCUUGAAAUGGUUGAGCAAUACAACAAAGAGAGCAGUCCCUAGCAGAGGUCAACCAUGAAGAUUAUCACGGAUGAGAGAGAGAGAGAGAGAGGGAUGGACAAGCUGUCAAAGAAGACCAAAACGAGAAAGGCUCGAGAAGUCACAUGAUUUUCAACAGUUCAAGAGAGUGGUGGUGGCAUCUUAACUCGUAGUAUUAGUAUUGUUAUCCUAGUGUAAAAAGGACAAAGUGGAAUUGUCCGACCAAUGUCUUCCCUUUCUAAUAUAGUAAUUGAAGUCUUUAAGAAAUCUGAAGUAUGACUAAUGGCAUGAAGCUUAAUUUCAACAGAUUCCUAGCCAGAAAAUAAAAUAACUCCCCAGAGUUCAAUGCAGCCAAAUCAUCUCAAUGCAUAACACAAGAGUACCAUGCAGUAGAUCUCUCCCUCUCUCCUCUCUCUCUCUCUCUCUCUCUGUCUUAAGAUUUGAUCUAUUCUUCGUUUACUGAGUUGUUUUUGGUCAAUCAACAUAUCCAUCAAUUGAUACACCAGCGUGUCUCAUGUUGGUAAGUUCAUAUGAAUCAUCCUUUGAUCUACUUUUCAGAUGCAUGCUUUGGAUUUAUUUAUCAAAAAACUUCUUUUCUGUUGGUAGGGAAGCUGGUUACUUCAUGAUCCAUCGAUCUUAUUUGAAUCCAAUACAAAGUGUUCUCAAAAUAUAGGAAAUUUGAUACACUUACUGAUUCUGCCGCUACUUUUCAUCUGAGCAGUCCAAAUCGUGGAAGAAAGAAAGAAUGAAGCUCCAUCAUCAAUGGUUUGUACUCAAGAGAAAAGAUUAAAUCCUCUGUGCAUCCAAGUCAUUAAUUUCUUCAGGAAGCUUAGACCCUAAGGUUUUAUGUUGUAUCAAAUUUCAGGAUUUUAGAAGUUCCAUAAAUCAUUCCCUUUUCAAUCUUUGGCCACUUUUUCUUUUUCUUCCUCCCCACCUAAUUUUAAACAGUUUCUUAUCAUUUCCAGAAAAGAUGUAUCAUUUUCCUUUUGCAUUCAACAAGAAGUUGAUCAUCCAAAAUUUUCUAUUGCCAAUUCAUAUAACCAAGCUUACUAAUAGUAAGUGCUAUUUUGUAGCUAAAUAUUGCUAUUCAAUUGCUAUAAAAGCUCAAACCUGAAUUUCAGUUGAUGAUUCAAUAUAUUCCUCUUUAUAUCUGUUGAUUUUUUUUUUUUCUGGAAUUUUCCAGGUCAUCUGCAUUUCGCAUCAUUCAUUGUGUUGUUUUUAACAUUUCUGAAGUAUUACCACCUAUCUCUUAGUUUUGCAAAGCAUGAACUACCAUGAAAUGAAUUAAGAAGGCAAACAAAAAUAGAGUUCUUGACACCUUCUAAGGCCAUCAUCAUGCUGGAAAAUUUCUUCCCCACCUGGGCACAAAAAUAAAAUUGUGAUUCUGUGCAAAUUGAUGAAGAUGUUUAAAGGGUUUCUAGUGACACAUGUACAUACUGCUGCCGUAAAUUUUUUUCUCUUUAGAAGAACACACAUACUUAUGAAGGCAUUUUCAUGAAAUAAAUGCAUGGUGAAUUUGUUAGAGUUAGCAGUUGAUCAUUUGAUAUUACAUAUAUAUGCACAUUAGUUAAGCAUACAUUACUUCAGGGAUAAUAUCUUGGAGGUUUGUACUUGGGAAAAAUCAUUUUGAUAACAUGAUAUUCAUGUGUCAAAAGAGGCUUCAACAUGAAAUAGGAAGGAGUUUCCAUUGUUUUUUAAUUUUUUUUUUCCUUUGUCUUUGAAGUACAAUAUAAUGCCAUUGAAGGGAGCCUAGUAGGCUAGUACUAUGGAAAAUACAUGAACCAAUACUGUUCUAGCCUUCUAGGAAACUUAGAAUGCCAUUUUGUUCACUCCACAUUUUUUUUCUUGCUUUCAUUUUUAUUACUAAUAUUUGGAGGAAAAUUCUUAGAUUAAUUACUGCUCUUAAUUUUUCCCUUCACCACAUUAAUAUUUCUAUAGACAUUCAUAAAAUCGAGAAAUUAAAAUUUACAUUCAUUUAAUUACCAUUAUUCACUUAUUUAUAAGUAAUGCAAGAAUAAUUAGGUAACUAGAAAUUCAGGCAUAUUAGUUGAGUUUGAUCUCAAAACUCUCCUUUUUACAUUGAUGGGUUGCAUGAUGUAUUCCUUCUAAUGCAUCCUAUACAUUCAGUUUGUUUGCAUUUUUUUUAAUACAUUCAUUUAUAACAAUGAAUAAGAACAUUCAUAUUUGGAGUCAAGAACACAUCAUUUUGAUCAAUUAAUUCAUUUGGAAUGCAACCGAAGAUCUCUUUGGAAAUUUUACAUAUGCAUGAUCAUUUAAGUAAAAUUUGUCAGAAAUUAUUAAUUCCUCCUAUCCUCAUCAUUCUAAUGCAUUUGUUUUCUUCUUGCCUCAAAAUGUUAUCUAUCUUAAUUAUGCUAUACUUCUCAUCUGCCUAGCUAAUGCAAAUCAAUGAUUCAAAAUCUAACAGCACACAAGACUGUCCUCAACAGCCAAGUAGCUACCAGGAAGUCUAGAAGUUCAAGGCUGCGGGGAACUGCUAAAGAGAUAGAAUACUAUUAGCCAUGGCUGAGAGAAUAGAGAUUUCUGAUGAUAAUAGGAGUGAUGGAAGUGAAAUUCAAACCAAAACCUCAUCUCUAUUAUGUUUUCCAGGGCAUUUGUCCUUUGACUUGAAUCAAAAGGCCAUGGAUGAAGAGGAUAGUAGCACCACUGGUGUUCCUGAAAAUGAAGUUAAAGAGGACGAGACAUCAACAGAUGCUAAUUACAGUAACAGUAGUAACAACACAACUGUAGAAGGGAAAGAACGAACAACAGUUAGGCAAUAUAUUCGAUCAAAAAUGCCUAGGCUCCGUUGGACUCCUGAUCUCCAUCUUGCUUUUGUGAAUGCUGUUGAAAGGCUUGGUGGGCAAGAAAGUAAGUUUUCUUUGGGUGCAGACUUCUGAGUGUAUUUCCAUUUCAUCGUUCAGAAAUAUCAAUUGGAAUAGGGAAGAGAAGAAAGUUAUUGCUCUAUCAUCUUUGUGGAAUUGUUUUCCCAAAGAUUUUUCCAUCCCACACAAAUAACUGAAAGAAAACUAUUUUCUUAAUGUAUCAUCCCUUUUUUUACUUUGAUUUUGUUUGAAUAAAUGCAGGAGCAACUCCCAAAUUAGUUCUUCAGUUGAUGAAUGUGAGAGGACUUAGCAUAGCUCAUGUAAAGAGUCACUUGCAGGUAAUGAAAAUGACCCAAGUUGGUUAGGUUAACUCUGUCAACAUUUAUAUCAGAGCGACUAGUCCCAUUAUUUUUAACCAUUAAUAUUUUUGCCUUUGUCCAUUUUCCUGAAUUUAUGCAUGGUGAUCUUCAAAUUCAGAUGUAUCGAAGCAAGAAGCUUGAUGAUUCUGGACAAGGUAAAAUUUCAGUGCCCUUUUAGCAGUUCAACACUAUAUCUUCGGUUUAUAAGGUCUGUUAGUAUACAAUUUAAAGACAGGUUGACAAGUUGAUGAAACAAACUAGCCAAAACCACUGAUCAACAAAGUAUGACAUCUAAACUACAGGGCUUUGAUCACAUGAAUAGCUUUCACGCUAUUCAGCUGUAUCUAGCGUCUGGAUUGCAUCUUCAGCUUGAAUUGGCCUAUUUAUGGAUAUAAUAGGUCAUUAUUUGAACAUGACUUUCAAAACAAGAGUAAAGAGAAAAUGCUAAAAUUAACCAAAAGACAGUUUUCAUGUUAGAUUAGAGUUCGCUCAUUAUUUGAAGAAAGUAAUAGUAUCAGAUUCAUGAGCUCUUGCUGGUUUAUGAGCUGAUCACUAUUUUUCUGUUUUCCCUUAUUUAUUUGUUUAUUUAUUAUUAUUUUUAAUUUGUGCAUCUUUUGUACAGUUCUAUCUCACACGAGUAGACCGAUGUAUGUAAGAGAUCACAUUCUGGAGAUGUACCAAAGAGCCAGUCCUUACGGACACUUUAGAAUGGAGAACAGGAGCCACUUCUUUUCUCCUGUAUUGAGACAGAAGUUUGACCCCAAAGCUAGCUCUUCAAGGUCACUAAAUUACAACUCCAGUGAUGAGAAACCCAAAAGAACUUGUUUGGCAAAUGUUUUAGACAUAUUCCUAACUGAUGAUCUCUGUCCUUUUUCUCUCAUAUUAUAGAAACCAACAGUGGGCUUUCGAUCAUGAUGUGAGGCAAACAAGUUCGCUAUGGAGGAAGGAUUCUGAACUUGAUCUGAUGAGUACGGAUUGGAACAAGGACCGGUCAACAAACUCACACCUGUUUGAUGUAAGGGAUGGGGGAACAGGAAUUGUGCCGAUUCAUACUAGCCGAUUUCUUGAAGAGAAGAAGUGGCCUCCACGGGAGUUGAUCGAAAAUCAAGGGAAGGGUAGAAAUAAUUCUCAAAAUAUAUGUUGGGAUGGUUCCUAUUCUGAACUUCUAUUAAACCAAAUGCAUCCGAAGCCAAUUUCAUUUGGUGGCAAUAACUAUGCCAUGCAGCCUUCUAUUUGGAGUACCAAUCCCAGCAUCAUCAACAAACAACUUCAAUCCAACAGAUGUAAUCCCUUGUUCUUAUCAAAUAGCUUUGAACCUGAGUUUGAAUCCCCAUUUCGAGUCGAGGUAUUUAACAUAGAUCACUCUUUUCCAUAUGCUUAUAUCUGAAAUUGGUUAAUUGAACUGACUUGAUCUAACCCUUUUAAAAUGCAGCUCCACAGGUUACAAGAAAAACAACCCCAGAGCAUAAAUGAAAUGGUAUUGCAAGCAGAAGAAAGUGCCUUUGUAGACAGGUUUAAAGAGAAGAAACAGCUACCUGAUUUACAGUUAAGUUUGAGCCACAACUUUGAAAUUGGUAAUGAAGUGAAUAUUAAUCCUCGGGAAAGCACCAAAGAGAUCAGCACAAUGCUUUCUCUUUCUAUGGCCAACUCUUCGUCGAGAAAACAAGCACAAUCUAGUGAAAACAGAAGAGAUUUGGAAGUUAAAAUUUGGGAUAGUUACAAACAAGUGGUACCAAGGCCACAGGGCUGAGUACUUAUUAGGAUCUGACCAUGUAAAAUUGAGCAUAGAAGUGAGAUCUUUUAAGUACUUGUCUUAAAGGCCAAACUGGACAAUUAGUUUUGCUGCUCACAAUAAGGUAUCCCCAGUUGUUUCUCUCAGGUUAAAACUGGAUGAUAGUUGCAAGCUAGCAUUUUUUUUCUUUUUUUUUCAAUCUUAAAUAUUUAGUUCCUCAAUUUCAUCAUAUGGUUUUGCUGAAAUUAAUUAACAUAAAAGUUCAAAAUAAUAUAUACUGAAUGAAUUAACUGCAAUGCGGAGUAUUUGCCUACAUGUACUAAAGCUGUAAAUCAAGCUUGUCACUACAAAAAUGCAGCCUUUUGAGAUCUUUGCAAAUGGUUCAUUGCUUAGAUGGUGAGUCAGUUAAUAAGGAUGCUUUCUCAGGCAAAAUGAAUUUGUUGUCUUUCAUGGGUGCCAAGAUAUAUGACAAGAAACAAGCUCUCUUGCACUUUCACUUUCCAACUACUGAUUGCUAGUAUGGAAAUCUCACUUUGAAUAUAUACAGUCGUGUGGGUGUAUGUUUAUUAUGUGAAAUCCUUCAAUCAGUAAGAUUAGCAACUAUACACAUUCCUCCAAUUUUCCCUGCAAUGUCCAUUGUCCAGUCUGUGGGAUCAGUGUGAGCUAGCUAGCCCAUGCAUUAAAAGGCAAUUCCUUUACUGUGGAUAAUAAGUUGAAGAACAGAGCUAGGUUUCCCAACAGGUUAAAUACUGAAACGCAUAUUGGAAUAUUUAGAAUAGAUAGGUGUACAAAUGUCCUCAACUUUGUAAGUUUACAUCCCAUGCAUGUCACCAUGUAUAUCAGAAAAUAAACAACUUUUCCAAGUUAACAAAAUAGUACUUAACUUUGAUUACUGGAAAAAAUUAAGGUUUGGAUCCUUUCAAAUAACAUGUCUAAGGAUCAUGUGGACUAGCUAUUAGGAUUGCCAGAAAAAGAAAUGGUACUGAAUACUAAUAUUAGCUCAUAUAAAUCAGAACUCAGUUUCUUCAAAAAAAAAAUUUAUGAACAAGACCAGUUUCUUAGUUGGGGGAUCCUGAUAAUGUAAGGCUGGCUAGCUAGCUCUGCUGGGGCAUAAUGCUGCAUCAGCCUCACAUUGAAUCCGGAUAAUUUGGGUUGUGUCUUGACUGAGGCUCUUAAUUUAUAUGAAUUGUCUAAGGUGCUCUUUAGCACCUGAAGAAGUAUGAGUAGCAGUUCCUAUAACAUAGAUAUAUUAAUCUUAAUUCCAUGGUGUUUUAACUUUUUGUUAAACAAACUUAGUAGUCAAAACUCCAUAGGGAAGUACCUUGUAGAGAAAGGCUCAGAAUCAAACCAAGUUUGUUCUCUCUGCCCAGGAAUAUAUACAUGCUAUCCCCACCAACUGAUUGUGAUAUACAUUGAGUGGUAUGUCAUAUAAUUUAUGUUAAACAUCUGAGACAUCUACACUUUUCCCAUUUGAAAAAAGCAAUGAGCAACUAUAUAUUGAAAAAUGUCACAUAGUUAUAGAGAAAGACAUCGAGUUCAUAGCAGAAGCAUUUGAAAACACAAAUACAUUUCUUCUGUCUAACAAAAUCUGGGAUAUGCUAUGCUGAGCAUCUGGAAAGAGUUUCACAAUUUGAGAAAUUCUUUUAUAUACCAAUUAGAAACCUAUGCGCAUGAGUAUGAGAAAGGGGAAAAAGACAGUACUUCAUUAUAACUUAUAUUUUGUCCUCAACGAGUCCCUUUAAUUACUUCAUUAUAGCUUAUAGUUGUGCUCAACGAGCCCAGCCCCAAGAGGAGUUAAGUAGAAGGCAAAGCGAUUCAUUUAUUAACUUCCGAUAGUGUUUGUUAAAAGGCAGUCCAUAAGAACGAAGGGCUCACAAUCGUGGCCAGUUCCCUCUUUGUGAUGCAGAACGGGUGCAUGUUCUUAAAGGCAGAAAACACUGAGGCCAAGUAUACAAUAUGUGGAAAAACAGAUACGGUGUGAUGAGUUUAAUAUUAAAUUAAUUGGAUACCUUCUUUUGCUCGAACUAUGCUUGUGCUGUCCAGUAAAAUACCAUUUUCUUCAACAGAAUCCACCACCUCCACCUCCACCUCCACCUCCACCUCCACAGCCACCGCCGCCGCCACCACCACCACCACCACCACAGCCACCGCCACCGCCACCACAACCACCUCCACCUCCACCGCCACCACAACCACAACCACCCCCACCACCUCCCCCAUGCCCAUGCCCACCAUCCCCACCUCCACAUCCACCACCACCACCACCACCCAUGUUCCCCCCAUAAUUACUGCUAAAGAUUAUGCCUCCAUGGCUGCCGCCUCCAUGAAGGUGAGCAGCACUACGACGAAAAUCACCCUUUUUCUUGCGAGGUGAGCCAGAGUUGUGAUCACCACAAGCAAAUAUGACCAUGGAUAUAAUUGAGAGGGACAUAACGAUCAUGCAAAGCAAGAAUAAACCUCCGGAGCUCACAAGCACCAAACUCGCUUGGCCUGCAUUGCCAUCUCCUAUCACAAACUGUCUUGCCAUUUGCUUUUGUUUGGACCAGAGUUGAUAGCUUAGCAAUAUAUACAAAACCGGACACGUUUAUAAGCUAAUGGAAUUGUCUUUAUUUUGGUGCACUUAAACCGAUAUAUUAAUGCUGAGUGCUCCACUAUGUGGCUGAGAUUAAACUCUUUGUUAUCCCAAAAUGAAAAUUCACAAGCCGUCUCACCAAACUAAGCCCAACAUGAAGCUUCAAAGAACCUUCUCCAAGAGGAAGAAAGGAAAGGGGAGGGAUCUUAAUUCUUUAAAAGGCAUUUUAACAACCCUGGUAGAAAUAAGAUGAAGUUGAAAACGACCCCCAACUUUGACAUUUUGUUUCAAGUUUAGUCAUAAAGAUUUAAAUUGAAGACAUGAGGAUCGUUUGUGACAGAACCUCAUGAUAUUUCCAUGAUCAAACAUACAUCAAGGGCAUGGAAAUUACCUAUGGUUCUCUUUGCAUUAAACAUCCCAAUAGGUAAGAUUCUGUUUUGAUUUCACAUGUGAGGCCAUUAAAUGGCCAUGGCUUCAUCUGCAAUGUCUUGCUGAUUUUCAGUUUUGGUGAAUUCCAUAUCAUGCUUAAAAAGGUUAAUUAGCUUUGAAUUUUGAAGGCACCAGGAACCUUCAUGACACAGUCCUACAUUAUAGCAUUGCCAUUUCCAGGCACAAAAUUGAAAGGCCUUGUGAACCGCUGAACUAUAUAUAUACAUGCUAAUCUCGAAUAUGAUUCUGCUUUGACCUCAAGAAUGUGAACUAUUUUCACUUUGUUUUUUCCUUUCAUAUUUUAACAAUAUUUUCAAGAACAUUUGUCAAGUUAAUAUGGCUUUCAUUUCUUCUUGUGAUUUUGUUCAUAUGUUCCUAUGAUAAUCAAAUUGUAGACAUCUUUAUUAAGAGGUUAUUUGUUUUUUCUCUUUCCCACUUAAGUCUUUUAAGUAGUUUCGAAUUUAGCUUAUCACUUUUCUUUUUAAGACAAUCUUGUCUUAAGAGACAAAAACAAAUAUUUUAACACUUAUCUUAGUGCAUGGAAAAGGGGUUUUUUUUUUUUUUUUUCCUUCUCAUUUCUCUUUUCAAUUUUUAAUGCAAAUAUAAUUCCUCACACAAAAUUUUGAAGAUUGUAGCAAUUUAAAUAAGAAAUAAUUUUACUAUAAAUUGAAUUUCAUAAUUCUAUAAAUUCCUCCAAUUUAAAUGUAACCACUAUUUUUGCCUCAUAAUUCAUCCAAUGCUAAACAAAAUUAAAUUUGAUACAUUUUUUUUAGAUUUUCUCAUUGAAUAUUAAAAAAAAAAAACUAUAGAUUAAAAAAUAAUUUACUACAAAUUUUCAAAAUUAGACCUUUUAUUAUACAAAAAAACUAAAAUAUGAUAACAAUUAUUAAUUUUAAUGAAUUUUUUAAUUAGAACUUUAAAACAUAAUUCAUAUUUUUUUUCAAUUAAACUUUAAAACAUAAUUAAUACUCAUCUUAUUAUCCACUAGAAUACAAAAUUAGGAUUUGGUACUUCUUUCCAAAUUUAGAAUAAAAAAAUUUAAUGCAUUAAUCUCAUCGGAAUCCAUAUUUCCAUUACAAAUAAGUCUUGUUGAAUUCUACAAGAAGAUGCUUCACAGUAACAGUAGUUAACAAGUGAACAACCCAAAUGUCAUUCUUUACAUAUAUAUAUAUGUCUAGGCCAAAAACAUCAUCUUGAGUUUGCUGCAGCCUCUCAAGUUAUUUGCUAUUGGCAGCUAAUGAAGGAUGCUUGGAUGCUUCUCAGGCAAAAACAAAGUUGUUGCCUAGUUGGAAUAUAACAUGCUUUUUUUCUCUUCCUGCUUCCAACUAGUGAUUGCUAGCUAGCAUUGAAAUCUCAUUUCAAAAAUCUGUUUCUUUCUUCUUCUUCUUCUUCUUCUUCUUUUCCUUUGAGCCAUAAAGAGAGGUUAGCAACUAAAAACAUUCCCAUUGUUCUUUCUUCUUCUCCUAUCAUGCCAUGCAGCUAGCUAGUUAUUAUGAUUGCUGGGCGAAAAAUUGUCAUGUGGUCUUCCAUUUUUACCUUCUAUUUCAUCACAUAGUCUUCUCGAACUUUUUAAGAUCUAAACAAAACCUAAAAAUUGGUUUGAACAAGAUCUGGAACACGCAAUACUGAGCAUCUGGGAAAGGUUUCUCGGUUUGAAGAAUUCUUUUAUAUACUAAUUAAAAACCUAUUCACAUAAAUAUUUGAGAGGGGGAGGGGGGAAGCAAUACUUCAUUUUAACUUAUAGUUGUUCUCAAUGAACCCCAAGAGGAGUUAAAUAGAAAGUAAAGCAAUUCAUUCAUUAACUUAGGAUGGAGUAAAAAGGCAGCUCAGAAGAACUAAAGCCUCACAACCAUGCCCAGUGUGACGGAGAACAGAUGCAUGUUCUUAACAGCAAUUAUACAGAUUAUAUGCUAUUAAGCUUCAAUAUAUGGAAAAAUAGAUUAAUAUGGAUUCAGGGUACUAAUAUUAAAUUAAUUGGAUACCUUCUUGUUCGAACUAUUCUUGAGUAGUCCAGUAAAUUUCGGUACCAUUUUCUUCAACGUAUUCCUCCACAUCCGCCACCGCCACCACAACCACAACCACCCCCACCUCCACAUCCACCACCACCACAGCCACAACCACCCCCACCUCCACAUCCACCACAUACUAAAUCACCUUUUUUCUUGCGACGGGAGCCAGAGUUGUGAUCAGCACAAGCAAAUAUGACCAUGGAUAUAAUUGAGAGGGUCAUAAAGAUCAUGCAAAGCAAGAACAGACCCCCGGAGCUCACAAGCUCCAUAAGCCCUUGGUGAUCUGCAUUGCCAUCUCUUAGAACAAACCGUCUUGCCAUUUCCUUUUGUUUGGACUAGAGUUGGUAGCUUAUGGAAUUGUCUUUAUUUAAUUUGGUGCAUACUUAAACUGAUAUAUAUAAAGGCUGAGUGCUCCGUGUGUGGUUGAGAUUAAACAUUUGGAUAUCCAUAAAAGAAAAUUCACCAAAACUGAAUUCCAGAUCAUGCUUAAAAGGGUUAAGCUUUAAAUUUUGAAGGCACCAGGAACCUUCAUAGGGCACAGACCUGCACUAUAGCAUUGCCAUUUCCGGGCACAAAUUGAAAGGCCAUGUGAACCACUGAACUAUAUGUAUACAUGCUAAUCUUGAAUACGGUUCUGUUUCGACCUGGCGAAUGUGAGCUCAUUGAUGGGGUUUUGGUUUACUAUUGAUCAUGGUAAUAUUGGAGGUCUGACGAUGGACUAAAAGGAUGAUCAAUCCAUGCAAGAAAAACAAAAUUGGUUGUUAGUCUGCAACAAUCUGAUAAAGAUAUUGAGCCAAUGGAUCAAAAAAAAUAUCCUGGAGACUUCGUAAAGUGGAAACAAAGCAAAGAGAAAAAAAAUCUCAAGCCAAUUUCAUUUACGAAAUGAGAGAGCUCAUGUAUUUUCAGUGCAAGGAAUGUUCACAUAUGGAAUAUUGUAACAAAUACAAUUAUAUAUGUAAUAUGUAUAUAAUUUAUUAUAACACUUACAAUCCACAUUGAGAUUAAGAAACUAGGCCAUUUUGGCCAUGUUUUCUAUGCUUGUUUUUAAAAACAAUUAAAAAAAAAAACAAACAGGAUUACAUAUAAACAUAUGAUUAUUUAUUAUUAAGUUUUCUAAAAUGAGUUAACUAAUUGAGUGGAGUCUACUAGGGCUAUUAAUCAAUUAGGACCCUAUGGGCUAGAUUAAGUUUAAACUCAUGAUGGGCUUAAAUAACUUAAGCUUAUACAAGAGCCUAUAUAAAGCCACUUAGAGUUGAAGGUUAGACAUUCUAUACUCUUCCAUCGGUAUAGAAGAAAAUCCUAGCCUCCUCUCUCUCACUCCCUCCCAGCCACUCUACACUUGUGUAAGGAAGCAAGGAUAGAGCAAUUGUGUGGAAAACACACCUGGUUUUUGAGAUUGGUAUCAACAGAUAUAUUUUUUAGCACUUAAAUCUAAGUUUUAUUAAAAAAUUAUAUACACUUUUGCUAUGCUUAGAUCUAGUAGCCCUAUGAUCUUAGAAAACAUGAACUCAUGAUCUCAUCCUAGAAAUAACAAGCUGCUUGGUAGGUUUCAAACUCAUUGAAUAGAUUGUUAAGUGAAUCCAAUUCCCUUAGCUAGCAAUAUUCCUAAAGUUAAGAAGGUCAUGUGGGUUAGGAGAGUGAACUCAUUCAAUAAAGUAGUUUUCACUGCACUUAAAGCUAAAGGCCCUAGUGACUGCGGGUAUUUAAUUAUAGAUAUUUAAGGUACAUAAUAGGAGAUACGUCAUUCUUCACCACCUUUGAGAAUUUAAAUGGUGGUAAUAUAAUCUUUGGUUAUGAGAUUGUAGCAUGUGUACAAGGUAUGUAAGAGAUCUAUUACCCUACCUAAUUGUCCUUAGUGAUGCCCUUUAUAUUGAAGGCAUGGCAACAAAUUUGUUUAUCAUUAAUCAAAUUUAUAACAACCAUUUGGGUCUUAGAUCUUCCCAAGGUAGAUGUGAGGUUUUCAAUAGGAUAGGAAAGUGUAUCCUUACAAUUUUUAGAGCUACAGAUAAUUACUAUGCAAUAAAUCUAGCCCUAAUUAGUCCCUAGUGUGUAGUAACACAAAAAUUGGAUAAUGUAAAGUUGUGGUAUAGGAGAUUGAGAUUAGGACACUUUAACUAUAGGGAUAUAAUCAAGGUUGUUAGCAAGAAAUUAAUUUAAGGAGACCCUAAGCUUAGUUUGCCCAAUAUUUCAUUUGUGGUGAGUGCCUUAAUGGAAAAGAAGUUUAAAGGACACAUAAAAAGCUAGAUUUUUUGUACAUUGACUUUAUGGGUCUAACGAGGACAAAAAGCAUUGAAAGUAAAAAGUAUGUCCUAGCUAGUCAUGGCAGAUGACUUCUCUAUGUACACAUUUAUCCAUUUGCAAGAGAGAAGUCCAAAGCAUGUGACCACUUUAAAGUUUACUAUCUCUUAGAACUAAGAAUCCUAGUAUAAAGGUUUAAGGAUUGGUUGAAGCCUUGAAAUCUAAUGAACCCUCAACUUAGUUAGAGUCUCAAAAGAGUGGAUGUUGGUCAGCAUUAGGUUGAACCAUUAUAAACCUUGUUUUUGUAUCUCUUUUCCCUUCUCUCUAGUUAAUUUAUUGUUUGUUUAUGUUUUCAUUAUAGCUAGUUAUAGUUACUUGCAUUCAUUAAUCUAAAAUUUUGUAAAAUUUACCAUUACCCAAUUCACUUCCUCUCUUAGAUGAUUAACCUAACUUCAAAUUUAGUAUAAGAGCAAGGCCUCUUACAAAUUCAUUCCACAUGGAAGGGUUCUCAAUUAAUAGGCUCUCAUUCUUUUUGGAAUUGAUUAUCCUUUUUAGAAAAUAAGGAUGACCUACUUUUCGAAAUCCAUUAUUAAUUAUGAUUAAUGGGAAGUCAUCCAAAAUUGUCCUCGUAUUCUAACUAAAAUUGAAAAUGGGGUGGCUAUUCCAAAAUCUAGCCAAUAAUGGGAUGAGCUUGUCAAGAGAAAAGUUUAAUUGAAAUGUUAGAGUUUGAUAUUAUUUACAUUGCACAAUAGAUGAGAAUGAAUAUAAUAGUAUAUGUCAAUGCGAAUCCGCUAAGAAUAUUUCAAGGCUCUCAGAUAUUACCCAUGAAGGAACUAACCAAGUUAAGGUAUCAAAAAUUAAUAUUCUUGUGUAUAUUUAUGAACUCUGCUUUAUGAAAGAUAAUGAUACAAUUAUUGACAUAUGCAGUAGGUUUACAAACAUCAUCAAUGGACUUCAAUCCUUGGGGAAAGUGUACAAGGAAUAGGAUAAGGUCAUGAAGAUUCAAAAAUCUCUUCUAAAGAAAUAAAAGGCAAAGGUGAUGACAAUUUAAGAAGCUAACGGUCUUACCAAGCUUUCGUUUGAAGAUUUGAUUGGGUCUCUAAUGAGAAAUUGAAUCACAAUGAUGAGCCAUCAAGAAGUUAAAAGACCAAAAGAAGAAAAGUAUGUCUUUAAAGCAUUAACUCAUGAUGAUGUUGAAAAGCAGAAAAGUGAAAAGGAGAACCUUAAACUCAUAGCAAGGAAGUUAAAGAAGUUUAUAAAGUUUGAGAGAAAACAAAGGAAGGAGGCAACAUCCCAAGAAAGAAUCAUCCAAUAAUGAUAAAAAAAAAAAUGAAAAAAAAAAAGGAACUAAUUUUCUAUGAAUGCAAGAAGUCAAGACACAUCAAGUAUGAAUGUCAUCUCUAAAAAAUAAGACAAAGAAGGAAAAGAAGAAAGCUAUGCUACCAAUAUGAAGUGAUAGUGAUGAAUUCUUCAUGGAAGAAGAGUGUGAGAAUGAAGUUGCCAACAUGUGCUUGAUAACCUUAGAAAACCAUGGAGAUGAGGUAAACUAUAACUCAAGUUAUGAUGAAUUGCAUGAAACUUUUGAAGAACUUUACCUUGACCUGGAGAAACUUGGUACAAAAAAUGUUUUGCCUAAAAGGAAAAUUGUUUCUCUUGAAAGUGAAUUACUUGAAUUAAAAGAAAAUUUUGAUUUGUGUGAAAAAGCUAAAGUUUUGCUUGAAAGGAAAAUGAUGUGUUUGAGAAGAAAAAUGAAUGGUUGACAUCCUCCCGGGCUUUUGAUUUCAUUUUAGCUAUCCAAAAGUGUAUCUUUGAUAAAAAUGAGUUAGGCUAUAAGCCUUCAAAUUUUAUUUGGUGAAAAGCUUCUAUCGAGAGCUCGUCCACUAUUUACAACUUUUGUGGAAAAGGAGAUUACAUAAGUAGUACAUGUCCUUUACAAUUAAAAUACUCUCAUGUUGUGAAGGCUAUUUGGUUUCAAAAGAGAGAAAAGACUAAUCCCCAAGAUCUCAAGAACGUAUAGGUACCUAAAGCAACCUAAUUUGUUUUGUAGGAAUUAAAAAAUAAUAAAUGGGUCUUGGAUAGUAAGUGCUCAACGCAUAUGAUGGAAGAUGAACCAAAUUUUGUCACCCUAACAAAAAGAGAGGUAGUUUUGUGAUUUAGAAACAAUGUGAAAGGGAAGAUCAUUGACCAAGACAUUGUUGAUAAUGGUAACAUCUUUAACUAAAAAUGUUCUCCUUGUAGAUGGUUUAAAGCAUAAUUUAUUGAGUAUUAGUCAAUUAUAUGAUAAAGGUCUUAAAGUGUUUUUUGAACCAUCAUAUUGUAUCAUUAAAGAUAUUCAAAGUAAUCUAACCAUUUUCAUGGGUCAUAUGAGCGAAAGUGUUCAUACAAUUGAUAUUGAAAAAAUAAUGGUCAAUGAAUGGUUUUGCUCAUGCAUGAUGAUAGUCGUUGUAGCAUAGCGGGUUAGAUUAAAUAUAAAGUUUAUUUUAUAAUAAAUAUGAACUUGUUAAAGGUCACAUUAACAUGAAGGGUGAUUAUGACAUUCCACAUGGGUUAGGAGAAGAAAUUUCAGACAUUAUGCAUGUAAAUCAAUUUAAAAACCUUGAGAAUUUAUUAAUCUUAGAAUGGAUAAUAUCCACAUGAAAGGAACCGGUUGUCACAAGUGGUCUCUCUCUUUGCAUGAUGCUAAUGUGAGCCAAUGUAAAUUGUCUUACUUUUGUUGUGUACAACUUAAUUGAGUCAUUUGGAAAAGAACCACCACUACCCCGAUUUGUUGUCAUAUGUAUGACCUUGUCCGUUUUAACUCUAUUGAAUAUCACCAUAUUAGAAUGUAUAUACACAUUUUAGGAUCACUUAAUUUAACUAGUAAACCAUAUGAAAUCUCAAAUCGCCUUAGAGAAGAAGUUCCAAAAUAUAUAAACAAGUUUCAAAUUUAUGAGUGUCAAUUGGUCCAAAACAAAUAAUAUCUAUACAUGACAAUCUUGACAGACAGUUUCAGAGUCAGUCUCAAUCUUAUUGAUAGUAUAGACCAUGAUAGAUGUUGUUUAAAUCAAUCUUCCAAGCAAUAAAAUGCGACAAAUACCAUUAGAGCAUUAUAAUGGUUAGAGCCAAUUUGAAUUCUUGACAGUGUAUCAAGACAAUAUUAUCAAAGGCAACUUUUCCUAAAGGUAACAAAGCCAAUAUGCAUUCCUAACAAGAAAUAUAUCAUGACAACCCAUUAUUAAAAAGAUAAUAGAUUAUAACAAAGAUUAUCAAAGUCGAUCUUGGUCCGUAGUUCCCAUAAAGUGUGAUGUGGUGACUUUAGGUUUUUGAUUAAGGAUCUUAACAGAUAGUAUCAAAGACAAUAUAUCUGAGUUCAAAAGAAGAAAUUGAUAGAUGAUGAGAUCAAGGUUACUCAAAAGCUAAUUUGAGUUCCUACCACUAAUAAGGAGUGACUCUGAGCUCCGAGUUCAUGAUUGCAAAUCAUUACAAAUGACAUAGAAGCCAAUUCGAAUGAUGUAUAGUAACAAAUGGUAUGCGAGCCAAUUUGGAUUCAUGGCAUUAAUAAGGACAACUCCUCUAGAAUAUAUUAUGUAAUUUAGGUUGUUAUUACUUAAUAAGGAGUGAGUUCUCUAGACUCCUCUAAAAUAUUUAAAUCCUUUUUAAAGGGAUAUUAACUUCUUAAAGCGAAUACAAGUUCUUGACACUCAUAAAGAGUUACUCCUUUUAAAUGUGUAGUACUAGCUGAUAGGAUGAAAACCCCACCUUUUACUUGCCCUAAUGUGAUCUAUUAUGUAUAUGGAAAAUAAUUUUAAUAAUAUUUUCUCCCUUGUUUCUAGCCAUAUAUAGUUUCUCCUUGAUACUAGAAGUAAUUAAUUUCGGGGUCCUACCCAAAAUAUAUGUUCUAUAGUCUACAGAUAUAUAACAGGUUGUAAAAUAAGAAGAAAAAUACAUGUGAUUCCUACAUUUCAAUCUUUUGCUGAUUUCCUAACUCUUUGAUUCUAGCAAUAUGAUUUGGGGUUUCUACCCAAAAUAUACCAUGGCCUGCUGAUAUAUUUACACUCUUGUUUAUUGCAAAAUAAGAAGAUAAACAUAUAGAACAUCUCUCCUUUGGCUUGUUUCAUAAGCGAUCCACUUAAUGAACAAUAAUAAACCUUGACGACCUGAAGACACAAAUUGGAUGAAAUUGAAAACUGAUUCCCAGUUUCCAACUUUGGUGAGUUUCACCUUCAUCCAAAGUUCUAUUCAAGGUUGAUCUCAUAGUUAAAAUGUAUAAUUUUUACAUUUAAAGACAUGAGGAUCUUUUGACACAACCUCGUAUAUAUUACAACAUGGUUUCGCCAUUUCCAUGCUCAAACUGCAAGGGCAUGGAAGCUGCCGAAUGUGAGAAUCAACUUACCUUUUAGACGAUCUAAUUGUUAUGGUCACCCACUAAAAUUUCUUAUUGGUUUACAAACAAUGGCACAAGUAAUUUGUCCUCAGGAUGCUAUAUAUACCUCAAUUCUAAUGUGCAGAUUACAAUUCUAAUGACACAGCCUGAAUUAUUUCCAUGUCCCUACUUCAAUUCCGUGGAACACACCAUUUUCUUCAUGGCCACCUCCACCUGCAGAACCAUUAUCACAGCCACUACAACAAUCUUUUUUCUUGCAAGGUGAACAGAGUUUGGUGUGGUCCAAAAUUGAAAGGUUUUUCAGGAGCCACAAUAACAUUGAUCACUGCUUCUAUUAUUGGGUUGUAUUAAUAUUCUGCAGGAAACCUAACAAUGUCCUAAUUUUUACUUCACUUCUGUAUUUCUUGCAAAAACUACCCUAUUUUGCUGGAAAACUCUCAGUUUGGAAAUUGACAAACCAAUAAAAAAUCCUAGUGUUAUUUUGAAUGUCAUAUUCAUGAAUGGAUAACCCAAGAAACUGUGGAAAAUGUAUUCUGAAUAAUAUUGUAGGGAAUAUGUAGUUCAUAUAUAUUUCAAAGUUAACACAAGUUAAAAUUCUUUCUUUUUCAAUCUCAUGUGUUGAAUCAGCUUUCUGCAUUCCCAUCCAGAUCCAGUGUGAAUUUGCCCCACAAACGACAACUUUUCUCAGUCAUUUUAUAAAUGAUUAAUAUUUUGAAGUGGCAUUGCAGGUAGGUCAGACAUUGAUGAUGAUUUCAUACACCACAAGAGGGGCCAUUCUUCUGACACAACCAAUAUCACGUUACAGCCAUUGUAUUAACCAUUCCCAUUUAUAUGUUAAUUGAAGAACAUGGACUCCAUUGCCUCUGAAUUAAUAUUUAAUGCCUACAUGUUUUCUAAACUUUUGUCAGCUUAUCAAGAAUAUGUAGAACAAAAAUACCCCUUCAAGGUGCAUGAUCCCGCGAAUUACUUCUGAAUAAAUUAAGAAAUCAUAUGUAAGAACUAUAGCAUUUCGUGAUUCAUUGGUAAAUAUAUUUUGAUUCUCUAUCAACCAAUGAUGCGGUACCAUUAACAUGGUUAAAGCUAAACCGAACCUAUUUUCCCUUCAAACCAGCUCUUACUUUGCAUGUUAUUCCUUACCCUUCAACUUCAUUUGUUACCCCUCACGAUAGAAAAUGUAGAGCAUGUUUUCAUUUAUUCCAAGAGAACAAAAAGAAAACAUAAGAGAAAACGCACAGUAAGUUUCAUUCUAUCCUUCUUCCAUUGUAGUUCCUCAACUUUGAAAAUGAACUUUCAUGCCGUUCAACAUAUUGGAGUGAAAAGAAACCUUAAAUGCCUUGUUUCAGUUCCCUUUAGUUUUUUUAAAUCAAACCCUAUUUUUCAUCAUAUUGAUAUUGUGAGUUGACUUAAUUUAUGAAAAUAUAGGAAGAAAAAGAUUCAUUGAUGAAGAAUACCAAACCGAAGAGGUAUAAAAGUGAUAGAAAACGAUGCUCUAAAAACCCUUCAUCAUCAACAAAAAAUGAGAAUGAAUCAACUAAAUUGGUAGGCAUUAAUUUUCUACUUGAAAAUUUUGAUUUUUAAUUAUUUUUAAAUGAAUCUGUUUGCUAAGAAUUGAUAAUGUAUUUGAAUAGAAUUUUUAUAGAAUUGAAAUUCCAAUUUUUCUCUAUAAGGUUAUAAUCCAAGGUCCAAAGCAAUAUCCCAAUAAUAAAUAAAAAAAAACCCAACUUAACUACUAUCAAGUCCACUAUUAUCAGGUUUUAAGUUGUUUUGGUUUUGUUUGAAUUUUUUUUUAAUGACUUUAUUUAUUAUGAAUUGGUAAUGCAAUUGAAUAGAAUUUUCAUGGAAUUAUUUGAUCUAAAUAUUUUGAAUUUUGAUUUAAAUAUGUUAAAUAUUUGAUGUUUAAUUGAUAUCACUAUUUUCUGUUAUGUUUAUUUUCUCAAUCUUUUAGAUAUUCUAGUCAAUGUGCAGCAAAUAAUCUAAAAACAUUUUAUUCAAGUAAAAAGGUACUCUGGAUAAGACUGUGCAGCCAAAAAGGUUUCAGCAGCAUGAAACAGUACAAGAAGGAUGAAAAUGGGGAGGAAAAUAAAAGGGCCCUGAAUAAGGAGGAAAAAGAUCAUCUAAGAAAUAUACCUAAAAAGAACCGGUUUGUAGAAGGUUGGAAAUUCCUAGGUUUUUACUCCCCAGGGUCUCUGGGUUUGUUUUCUAUCCUGGAAAUGCACUACUUUCGCACCAAGUUCCCCAUUUCCAUCUUUCCCCUUUACCCAUUUUAAGGGGGAAAAAUAUGUCAUUCAAGGGAAAAGAAUGUGUAACAAAAUUUUCAUUUUCCUCAUCAUCUGAACCCUCUGAAAUCCAAGACAAAAUAUCUGCCUCAAGAUUAUCACAGCAAGUACUUCUCCACAACCGUCCGACCAAACUUCUCUUGAACAUCUUUGGGAGUUUCAAUCUGGAAAAAUGCAAAGAUAACAGUGGUUUGCAAAAAAUUCUGGGCAACAAAAAGGAAUCAGAAAAAUUCAAUCAUACUAGUAUAUAUGGGUUACUUACAGCAUUGAGAGCCUUGAACAGAGCCUUAACUGUGUUAUGGGGAUUCCUUGAACCAAUUACCUACAAGAGAGUUGAGAUUAGAAACAAACUAGAUAUUAGCAACUACCCUUAUAAGAAAGCUUCGACUGGCUGUCAUAAUACCUUGGAUUUGACAUUUUUGAAACCAGCUAAAUUCAAAAUGGUUUGGACAGUUCUGCCUGCUUUCAUGCCUGUGGUAGUUUGUGCAGGCCAGAGAUACACCUAAGAUGAUAUAAAGGUUCAAGGUUAUAUUGAAACAUUUGCAGGAUAAAACAUUUUUGCACAUGAAGGAACGGAAAAUUAGAAGAAAACAGUGAGAUGAUCCAAAACCUUGGUUUUCUUAUAUGUUGUCUGUACUGCAUGAGCAAUCGUAUGCUCCUCAUAUCGUUCAACAUAAUGGAGAUUUUGAAAGCAUUUCUCAUAUGCCUGUUUGUUGUACAGCAUUCAGUAAACAACAGAAAAAACAUUAUGCGAGUAAAAUUACAAGUAUUGAGUAUCAUGGAAGUGUAUCCUUGUAAGAGAAGGAAAAUUUAACAGCAAUGAGAACCUGAUUAUUUGAGGGUUUGACAUAAUCAAAUAAUCAACCUUUCCAUUACAGCAGCACAUCAGAAUUUCACGAGUGAAGACCAGAACUAAAAUUUGAAAAGGGCACUAGAAUGAGGAAGUAUAAAUAUAUUGAUAUGGAAACUUACAGAAAUCUAAAAAGUGUGAGGCCUAAGGCCAAUAAAACUAUAAAAAUAAAAUAAAAAAUGUAAAACAAGCGACCUUGCAAGGGCUAGAUUUGAGAAGAAAUACACGAAGAUAAUCCAGAGAGUUGAGAACCAGAUACUUUUCAUUGCCUCAGAAGCGAUACAGCAUUCAGACUAUCAAAGAACUGGGGUAGGAAAUAAGGAAGAAUUAAUAAAGAGGAGAUGCAAGCCCUUGGAAACAGAUAGUACCCCCAUAUUAAUUUGAAAAUAUUGGAGAGAAUUAAGACAUGUUCAUCUGAAUUUAUAUUUUCUGUAAAACAAAGGAAGAAAAGAAAAGCAAAUAACUGGAGAAACAUACGAAAAAUACAAUUUCCAAGGAAAAAGAAAGAUAGAUACUUAUCAAAAAAAAAAAGAAAAGGAAAGAUAGAUGUUUCAAAAAUUUUAGAGGGAUCAAAAUUAUAAGUAGCAGGGGACCCAAAGAGAGCGAUUGAGAGAACACUGAGACACGUGUCCCAUGUGACAUGGAAUGAACAGGAGCGGGUUGCCUAUCCUGCUGUUAAAGUUUUCAGGCUUUGUAGAAAAGACGUAGGAUUGAACCCACUUUUGUCAACAUCACUAGGUGGGAGAAGAGUGGUCAGGAGAGGGAUAACCCCAUCGUAUAGCUUACAUAUGAAUCCUUGCCUUUGGAUCAAAAGAGAAAACAAACAAAGAAAAAAAAAGCAUGUGACUUGAUCAUAAAAUCAGAAAAUAGUCCCAUGGGUCUUUUAAAAAUGGGAAGAAAGGCGCCAUAUGAGAGUGUGUGUGUAAGGAAGAUAUGAUUAUAUUUAGUCUCAGGAUCAGGAAAACAGACUCACAGGUUUUAAAAAAGCAGAAGAAAGGAGCUAUAAAUGGGUAUAAAGUUCCACCUAUAAUAUGCAAACAAUUAAGAAAUGCUUUCCGGACAACCACAUUUCUUCUUUCACUGAAGUGUACAUAGUCCAAAACAGAAAAUGGUUGAAUCAGUUUGGGUACACAAAUCCAUCCAGAAAAGUCAUGAUAUGUGGAAUGUGAUUUCACAACAAGAGUUGCCUAAAAAUGACAUUGGACUGAUCUGUCCUGUUCCAGGAGUCCAGGGUGAUUCUGCAGGAGAUAUUUUAAAACAUUAAGAAAGGCACAUCGCCCUCUGUUUCUACAGGCCACCAGAUUGUGAAGGCGCAAAAAAUUAAGGCGCUCUAUUUAUAAAUUUACUAGGGCCUAGAUGGACAUUACCUAUGGGCCUAUUCAGAUUAUUAGUAAUGAAGAUCCUCCAAUGCCACAGGUUUGGCCAGAUCUCAAGAUUCAGGCCAUGAUGAUAUGGAAUUUCACAUAAUAUAUCAUACAUCAUCAUAAAUAUUACAUACCAUAUAUAAAAUAUUAUGAACUAUAAGUCAUUAUUUGGAUCAAACUUUUAAUAGGUUGAAUUGACAAAUAACUGACUCUGAUACCAUAGUUACUAUCAAAGAAACCUGAAUUUUCCACAGAUUAUACAUUGAGAUCACAUGCUAAAUCCACCUAAGGAGAUAGUCUUGUAUCAUGAUCUAACUGAUUGAUAGAUAUAGCAGAAUGCAUGAAUGGUAUGGCAAACAACAAUACUAAAAGCUUAUAAAAUAUACCUUCUGGAGGGCAAUUGGAAUUGCUGGGCCUUUUGCUUUUGCAUAACCAACAACACCAUGAUAGUUCCCACAAGCUAAUAUAGCGGUGUACUUGACCACUUGCCCCCCCUGGAGCCAAUAAAAUACAAAUAAAAGCUGUAAAACUUCAGUCUAUGACAAAAGAGAAACUAAAGAAAAGCAGUAAUACCUUUGUAACUUUACAUGUUCGAUUUACAUCAAUCAGCUUCACAUCAAAGCCCUGCCAUUAUUAAUAACAACGUGAGUUAAUAAUAAUAAUAAUAAAUAAAUUUAAAACACAGAGACUGUCGCGUGCCAUGUUGGUAAAGAAGUCGACUGGGGUGAAAACUACAGGCAAAAUGUGAAGUAAUAAAAACAUGAAUUCAUCCAAGAAAAUUGGAAAAAAAAAAUCUUUUGGGAUUAUCCAACCACUUUGCAUAAUGUGCCUGCAUAAGAUACUAAAAUUAGAGGAAAGGGAGUUCCAAAAUAAUAUUUGUUCUUCCAGGAAGCAGAACAUUCGCUUUCCCCAUUAACUAAGAAAAUUCAUGGAACAGGGGCAGGCAGAAUAAGGUGAUUCUAGGGGUUUUUUUGGAGGUUCUUGACAUUUUCUCCCAAGAUAACACCGGGAUACAUACCUCCCUCUUUCUAAGAAUAGCAAUUUCUGAACCCAGUGCUCCUUCAAGAUGUCAAUGGUCUUAAGUCUUAUAACAAUAAGUCAUGCAAAUUCCAAGUCCUCCAUAUAACAUCUGCAUCCCAAAAAAGGGAAAAAUACCGGUACAAAGUCUAAACUGUUGUACCAAAUGAGAAUAAUAAGCCUGAACUCCCAAGCUAUUUGAAGAGCCAAAUCAAUUUGUUUAGAUAAUCUAAAACUUUCAAGUCUGAAUAUACCAUCACCCAAUAUAUAAGGAUUCACCCAAGUUUAAUCUUGAACAAGAGAAAAGUCAUUCUAUGAUUGAACAACUCCAUGGCUGACAGUGAUGUUUUUUUUUUUUUUGAUAAGCAAGCACAAUUCAUUAAAGAGGCUAAAAAAACCCCAACGUAUACAGGACGUAUACCAGGCAACAAAGGCCAAAAACAAACAAAAAACCAAAAAACAAACCACCCCUCAACUGGAGGCAAUCCACUCCAGGAAAUCUAAAAGGGAAUGCGGCUCCUCUUCCAUAUACAAUUUAGCCCAACCCCAAAUAUUACAAACAAAAGAAUAUUUAAACCUCUGAAUUGCUAAGAACCCCCCCCCCCCCCUAAAGGCUAAUCUAUUCCUUUCCUUCCAAACCAUCCAAAAAAUGAAUAACGGAAUGGAAUUCCAGAAUUUUUUCUUUUUUUUCCCCACAAAAGAACCCCCCCAACUAUAUAAAACCUCCUUUACAGUAUUAGGGAACACCCACUUGACCCCAACUAAGCCCAACACUAAAUCCCAAAGCUCUCUAGCCACUGUACAAUGAAUCCAGUGAUGUUGUGACAGUGAUGUUGUUCUAAAAUGAAUCCAGACUAAGUUCAUAGAGUUCUCCAGCAACCAUCAACCAGAAUAGAAGCUUCAUUAUAAAUCAAACCAUGCAGUUUUACAGAAACAAACUGUAAAUGACAAUUGUUCUCCACACCUACAACAGAAUGAAGUUUCUAACCCGUCAGAUCAACUCUCUCCUGGCUAUGAAUCCGGUAAUAAAUUCCAUCGCUACAACAAGCCUCAAGAUCAACUAUAGCCAUAUAGCCUUUAACUUUUGCCCCAGUAUGCAAUAACACAUAAUGAUACCAUAUGCAAAAAUGUCAGGAGGAGGAAGAAGCUCUCCUACAAUGUAACCACUCCAAGUAUAGCUAAUAAGCUAAUAUUUGGAUGAAUAUACUUUUAGCUUGCUCAUCUUGUGGAUUCUAUUUAAGGAUGUCAUAUAUAUAUGCUGCAUGUUAUUCACUGGUCAUGGUUUUCCAUAUCAUCCCUCGUCUUUUUUCAAUAUCCAUCAGUCAACAAAAUCAUGGAAUUAUAUGAAUCAGACCACAGGCAAAAAUACAGGAAAAAGAACAACUAUUUUUAUAGACAAGUAAAAUAAAAUAUUAUAAACAAAGUGCUGAAAAAAAGGGGGCUCAACCCAGUACAUGGGGAGUAUCCAAAGCAUGCCAAAGCCCGCAAAAAGGACAAAAAAGGAACCUGGAUUGAGCCAGGCUCAACUAUCAACAAAAUCUAGUUUAGAAGUACAAGUUUCUCUAGAACCAUUAGUCCAUGCAUGCAACUUCUAAUAAAGAAGUUUUUCAUGGCUAGUUCUAAUUGCUCCACUUCCCCAAACAUCUUUGUAGUUCUCUCUUUCCGAAUUGUCCAAUAUAAACAAAGGAGAGCCAUUUUCCAAAUGCCUCUUACCCACAAAGCUAUCAUGAAAUCCAAGCAUUAAAUCCUAGAUUGUGUGGAGAAGAACCCAGGAAACUCCAAAUAAAACAAAAAUGAGGCUUCACAAGCUAAAAGCCUGCUCACAACGCAACCAAAUGAUCUUAGGAAAUUCUUUACACUUGCAAAGGCAGCACUGAUUGACCAUCGUCCCAAAUAUGUUUCACCAACUGAUCCAUCAUUAUGACUUUUCCAAUGUUACUUCCACAGAGACAGAACCACCUUAGAAUUAACUAGAGUCCCAAAUCUUUUUGGCAGGAAAGUUGUACUCCCAACCCAUCAAAAUCUUAUAGUAGGAUUUCACAUUAAAAAGAAAGAAGGGAAGGGAAGAAGACAGACAAAAAAAAAAGAAAAAAAAAAGAGCUCUUUCUUUGAAGCAUGCCAAAUUAGUUUGUACCCUAGCAACCUCUCUUAUUCACAAUAAAUGAACUCCUAAAACCACGCAUCCAACUCCCUCCAGGAUCAUUCCUUGCCUUCCAACCCAAAAAUUCUCAAGGUAGCUAGAUCAAAGGGAGUCUCUCACCUUUGUAUAAAGUGAGAGACUCUCAUCGGGUCAGUUUAUGGAAAACUACAAGAAAGGAGUGGGAUCUCUUUAACAAAAGAGUGCCCUUUGCAAUGGGUAAUGGGAGCAAAGAGAAGUUCUGGAAAGAUAGAUGGUGUAGUGAGGAGCCUUUAAGUGAGAUUUUCUCAUCCUUGUUUGUGUUAACUGAAUUGAAAAAGGCGUAGUAAGCAUAUUAAUGGGAGCAAAAGGAGGAAGGCAGAGACUAAAACUUCUGUUUUGCAAGGAAUAUGAAUGAUUGGGAGUUGGAUAUCGUAGAGCGUUUCCUAUUUAAAUUCUAAGGACAAUCAAUGAACAAUCAAUGAAUAGGGAGGAGGACGAUAAAGUAGUUUGGAAGGGCAAUAACUGACGAAGGUUCUUUGUAUAAGCCCUUUAUUGGAGUUAGAUUGUACCCUUCUCAUUAGGGAUAAUUUGGAACUCCUAGAUUCCUUCUAAGGUGAGCUUUUUCACUUAGGAGGCUUGUUAGGGUAAGGUAUUGACUUUGGACAAGUUCCAAGGAAGAGGUUGCUCAUCAGUCAACAAGUGUGCUUGAUGCAAAAAGGAGGAAAUCCAUUGAUCAUGUUCUUCUUCAUUGUGAUAAGGCUAGGAUUUAAUGGCAGUUGGCUUUUUCUUUAUUCAGUAUUCCUUGGGUUAUUUCUGGUUAGGUUAGAGAGACUCUUCUAGGGUGGGAUGACUCUUUUGUAGGUAGAAGGCAAAAGAAAGAUUGGAGAGCCGCUCCCUUUUAUAUUUUUGAACUAUUUGGAAGGAAAGAAACCGAAGAUCGUUUGAAAAUGAGAAGAUGUCAAAUCAAUGAGUCAAAAGCAUUUUCCUUAACAAUCUAUCUUUGGGGAUUAAGGUGCACAUAGAUGGAGGCACUAUGCCUCUAAUUGAUUUUAUAGAUUGGCUAGAUUCUUAUUGAGGGAGGGAGUAGUUUUUUGUUUCCUUUUUUCUUUUUUUUCUUUUUUUCUUUUUUUUUUUUGCCUCUUGGCACUCAUUGUAUACGUCUUGUGUACUCUUGUGUGUCAGUUGCACUUUUAAGUACAUUCUUUUAUUUAUCAGAAAAUAAAAAUAAAAAUAAUUGGAGUUUCUCCACUCCAAACAUCCAACCAGAAGAAAAAUCAACUGGAUGAACUUAUUUAGCUAUCAUAUUUAAUGCUACAACCAACUGAAACUGGAUUAUUCUUAUAGAAAGGGGAAAGCACAAGAAUCAAAUAACAUCGAAAGUUCGAAAUUACAAAAAGGCCAUCAGAGAUUAAUCAAUGCUUACAUAACUAACACAGCAAAAGAAAGAAAGAAGCAAUAGAUUAGAAUAUCAUAUGGCCUCAAUGGUUAAAUACUGAUUUUCUUUUAUAAGUGACACUUAACUACAGCUAUUUUUCUCAAAUAGAUAUUUAUCCCUAUUUGGUAAGAACCACACAAAAGAAAGGACAAGAUAUAGCAGAAUGAUAUGUAAUUUUUUUUUUUUUUGAUAUCUAAGCAGAAUGAUAUGUAUACUUACUUUUCUAUAAAGAGGUCUUCUUUUCUUCUCUGUCAAAGAGUUCCUCUCCUCUGCCAGAUCUCGGAUCUCCUCCUCUAGAAGUUUCCCCUUUUUACCAAAUGUAUGAUCCAACUCCGCCAAUUUCUCUUCAAGUUUCUUGUCAAUGGCAUUAAGCUUCUCUAACAAUAUAUCAUCUCUCUCUUUCAUGUCAUCAAACUCACCAUCAUCAUCUUCAUCCAUCUCAGCCCCUUGAAUCAUUUGCUUCUCCUUCUCAAACCCAGCAUGUUCCAGAAGAUCAACAUUGGGUCCCACUUGUUGAUGCUGUAUGUAUCCGUAAUUGGCAGGAUUGUUAGGAUCAUAAGCUUCCUUCCACUCAAUUAACCUUACUGCCCUAUUAAGCUUCUGUUGAAGAAUGAACUUAUCCUUGCCUUCUGCUUCUUUAAGACGGUUCAUCAAUUCACCAAUAACCCUGUAUUCUGGGCGGAGCUGGAGAUGUUUUUGCUCAAACUUGUCGAUUCUAGUCAUCCACUUGAAAGCAUCAUCAAGUGUCUCUGUCAGGAAAUGAGGGGUAAAAGUAUACAUAUUUCAUCAAUGGAAUGUUGAUAACAAAAAAAUGCACUCAUCUCAACUGCAAUACAACUCAUAAGACAAAUUAAAAAAAAAAUAAUAAUAAGGCAAGAAACUUAUUUUUUCUUCCUUUUUUUGUGUUUUCACUAUAAAAUGGGAAUAUAACAUUUCCAAGAAAAUGGUAUACCACCACAUAUAAUACUUACAGAUACAAAUAAACACAGCCUGAAAUUGUGAGAUGUUACCCUCAUAAAUCCUUAUUAUGAAAAUUCCUUUGCUAUAACAUCAGUCAAUGCAUUAGCCUUUUGAAAACAUAGUACCGACUAAAGUCAUCAAGAUACAUACAAUGAAGACCAACUUAAGAAAACACAAAAACACUAGCCUGAACAUUGUUAAAAACAUCAAUGACUAUCUAUAAAUCACCCUCAACUUCAACAUUUCUAAUGCCAAUUUAUUUGAAUAAAAAACCAUUAUGAAAAGUCAUGCAUUGCACCACUAAAUCAGAAGCAUUGCCAAGAAAAGGUGGUUCCCAUGAAUCCACAUCCAUUGUUCAUUUAUUGAUAAAUUUGUCAUCAGGUAUCUUCCCGCUUUAGUUUCUGUGCAUUUUGAUUCAGUUAUUUGACAACAUAUGAACAAAGCAUUUUUCCCAGGUUUCAGGUUACAUAUGUUAAUAGGUUCUGACCAUCAUGAAGGAUGUAUGCAGUUAUUGAAUCAAAACUAGAGAGUUUCUACAUUUCCUUCAAACUGAAGUCCUUCUGCCUUUGUUAGUUACCUCUGAACUUUGUCAUAAUCAAGCUGAGGAGACUAAUUGUGAAAUGCUAUUCUUUCCUGGAUUUGAGUUAGUAAAGACACAACCUAGUUCACUUGUUUCUAAUGAUCACAAAAACAUGUAAUAGAUGAGUCUCUGAACUGGAAUCUUCGUUUCUCUAUGUCAGAAAUUCUGCUGCAUCUUACCAUUUCCGUUACCAUAGCUAUCAGCAAACUGCUCAGCGGGAAAUUAUUGCUCUUCAAGGUUUUACACUGGUAUCAACAUACUGCAUAUACUUCAUAGUUUUUAAAGUUUUGAAACAAAAGUCAAACGAUUUAGUCGUAUUAAAUCAUUAGCUAUUUGAUAAAGAGAUAAGAUUUUGAGCAUCUGAAUAAAGAAAAAACUCUUUAACAACUCUUUGUAUGGUUGCAGAGAAAAAGACGGAAAACAGAAAGACACAAACUUCACAAAAUAUUUCAAAAAUUAGAAGAUUACCGGCCUCAGCGAAGUUAUUGAGUAGCUCCCCAUGCCUCUUGAACUUCUUCUCAAACACCUCCGCGCGCUUCUUGACGGCCUCGGUGGUGAACCUCUCGUCAUCCUCGUCGCUGUCGGAAUCGGUACGCUCUUCGUACAUGUUGAGAUCGCCGCUACUCUUCAGCUUCUCCUUCUCAAGCUUCUCGAUCAAUGGGCCAACGCCCAUGUAGUCCUCUUCGUCUUCAUCCUCAAUCUCCUUCACAUCGAGGCCCGCUCUUUUCCUCUGCUCUUUCUCCCUCUGCUUUUCGCGCUCUACUUCAGCGAGAAGCUCUUGCACUGUUCGAGCCGAUGAGAAGAAUCGACUGGUUCCAGGAAACGGAAAAUGGGGUGUUUGGGCGGUAGGAAAGUGAGGGAAAGUGGAGAGUGGUUUGAUAGGGGGUUUCUUGAAGAUGAUUUUACUAAAAAUGAGACGAGAGAUUGAAGAUGCUGCGGCUUGUGAUUUGAUCGCCAUUGUUACGGAAUCAUUGAAGAAAAGCCAGCACGCAGUGAGGAUCGUAGAGAUGAAAGAGUAGGGUUGAUUCACUGAGGAAAUGGGCGACAGAAGUAAUGGGCCGAUCUCCGGCCGAGAACUGGCGGCCCAAGGUAGCCCAAAAAGUCUUGGGUCUAUCGCCCAAAUGGGCUUCAGCGGAUUGACUUUUGCUGGGCCUCUGUUUCUUCUUAUAAAAAGAAAGAGAGAAUUCUCUCUAGUAGGGUGUAUAUUACGAUUUUGUAAAACUAUUUCAUUUAUAAAAAAUUAAUUAUUAGUUCAGGGUCACAUUGUAAAACUAUUUAUUUUAAUGACAAUUAAUUUUAAUUAAUUUUCAUAUAUUUAUGGUAUGGGCUAGAUCAUAUUAAUUUGACUUGUCUCCCCUGGCGUUUCUAUGAUAUUUUGUCUUGCACUUUUAAUAGGGGAAAAAUAAAAUUUUUUAGCAUUACAUAUGUUGCAAACUUCUUUUAACCAUAUAGUCGUGUUUUAAGUCGUAAAAACUUAUUAGUCUCUAAACAGACAAUAUCUAUAUGGAAGGAAAUGAGUUUAUGAAUGACAUCAAAACCGUGAUAGACACGGUUUAAUCAUGUCAUGGUUUCUAACAUUAUAUAAGUAACAAGUUUCUUAUAAUUAUAUAGAGACGCAUUUUAAAACCGCGGUGGGAUUCUUUUAAUCAUAUUGAAGACUUUUAAAGUCACAAAGGCCUAGUUUCACAACUUCUUUUAUAAGGCUGCAAUGAGCCAUUGGACCAAGAAUGACUAAUAUUAAAUCUUGGUAUCAAGUAUGAUAUGAAGUUAUCAUGUCAUGAUAUUGGCCUGAUAGCAGUGGCUCCAUCAUUUGAAAACAAAACAAAAACAAAAUGAGUUGGAAUCUGUCCGCCAAUAAAUUUUUUGUCCAAUUGGUUGUGUUUUUGCGAGGCCAGCUAGAGAGAGUACAAAGGCAAGAUGCAACAUGUCAGUUGGGAUUCCCUUUCAAGGACAAAGCUGGGUCCAUCCGCUAACAUUUUUCAGUAUGAAUAUAUGGAGUUGUGCUUCCACUAUUGCAGAUGAGGAUGGAAAUAACCCAAGUAGGAGAUAAUGGAAACACAAGCUAAAUCAUGGGGCCAUGAGAUAGGGCUGAAAUGUGACCCCCCAAGCAAAACAAGACGUUAAUUGAAACAAGCUGAAUCUCAUGAAAUCCUUCUCCAAUCUUCUUCUCUCACAAAUACACUGACAUUCUUAUCAAAUAAAGGGCAUGAAACAGAGUAUCUUAUUUAUGUACUACUUCAUAAGUCUCAGACAAAUUCUCAUGAUUGAAGGAUGCAAUGCACAACAUGUACAUGGAGGAAGCAGCAUCCCUCCCUCUCCUCUUUUAUUACAAAGUAUAGCUGUUGACUCCCUUUACAUAAAAACCAGCAUGUACGAAGGAUCAAGCUUGAAGUUCAACAAAUGUGAUGGCAUUUACAGUAAAACUUUUUCGACUCAUGGUUGCAUGAUAUGGAAUGGGCUUGUAUACAAUUACAGCUUACCCGUUAUAUAACUUAUAACCCAAAUAAAGCAAAAGACAAAAGAGCAAUGAACGAGGCAGCCAAAGCAAUUGUGCAAAUGGGCUUCAGAAUUAGCGCUUGCGUUUCUAACUUUCUGGUACUGGAGCCAACAGUUUCUGAAACAAGAGAAGGAAAUGGAUGUGAAUCUCAGUUUCCUCAUUGAUAUAAACAAUUUGGGGAAAGGGUAUAUAGAAUUACCUCAGAAAACCGCAAAUGCCCUUUAUGCGCAUUAGAAGUUUUGACAAUUGUUUCCCACUUGGGAUCAGGGGAUGAUGUCUUGGAAGCUUGGUUUCUGGGGCUAGUCCAAGUGGCAAAAUGUGAUUGGGAGUUCCUUGAUGAUGCAGAAGGCAAUGUACGCGAGAGCCAAGACUCGGAGGGAGAUUUUGGUAAAGGUGGAGGAAGAGGAAGUUCUGAGUGGCUAUCAUGAAAUUUUUCUAGACUAUCUGCUUCUGAAGGCCGAUGGUUUUCAUCAUCCAGAUUCCUAUUGUCAAGCACUUCUGGGCUAUCCAAGGUCAUGGAAUCCAGAAUAGGAUCUGAGCUACUGAAUCCUUUCCUCUGGUCCAUCUGGACUUCCUGAUCUGAUUUGACACAGGAAAACAGUAGAUUAGAACCCAUAGAGUCCAAAAUUUUUGGCUGUGACUUGCCUUCUUCAUCUGCAAUGCUUAAGUGCUUGAUAUCUUGAAGAGAAGACUCCAUUGAAGGGGUACUAGAUUUUCCAAGAAUCUCAAAAUCACUCCUGGUGUCACUCAGCCCCUUCAUAUCUGAACGGCUGGAAUUAGAAUUCCGAGGUUCUACAAUAUGUACAGAAUCUAUGUACAGAGUUUUCUCAACUGUAGGGCUUUCCAAACCUGAUUCCCGUUGAGGGCUACUAGCCAAUAAUUCCCGGAAGAUUUUUUGGCCCUGUUGAUGUGAACCAAAGCCAUCAACCCCCAAGCUCAUAGGUGCUUCAUGAAUGCCAUGAAAUCCUUUUUCUUCAUUAAAGUGGGAUAGCAGUGAGUCACUCCGGUAGGGCAACAUGCCACCUCCCUGCAAACGCAUGUACAGGGAUGACCCAUCUGGUUUCUGAGAAUCACUCUUGUAAUUAGUUUUACUGCUUUCAUUUUCUUCCUUUCUCUUAAGUUCCUGCAGCUUACUUCUUUGGAGUCCACCUGAUUUUUUCUCAUUAACGACAUUUCUAGAGUGCUGUAGAGAUUUAGGUUGUUUUUCAGAAAAAGAAUUAUUAAAAAAACACUAAUCAUCAGUAAAGAACUUCAGUAGAUGACAACUAUGCUAUUGACAGAAAGGAAAAGAUAGUGUACCUUAUUUUCAGUUAGAGUACUAGCAUCACUAUAUGAGAAUCUAGCUCUUGUAGCACGGAGAGAGGAGGCAGGUACCCGGGCCUGAACUCCCAUUCUUAGUACUGGAUUCAUAAGGCAGAAGGAAUUCUUCAAGCCAAACCGAGGAAAUAACCCACAAACUUUGGCAGACAAAAGUUCAGUUUCAACAUAGUUAUCUUCAUCUUCACUCUCUUCUCUACCUUUAUCUUGAGCAUAAUGUGAUGAAACAUUUAGCCUAUAUUGAUAAAGUGGAGGCCGCCUAUCCCCGCUUACUACAUUUUUUACCUGUCUUGGUUGUGCCUGUGCCACAGGUUGCCUCUGUGCCACAGGUUGCCUCCUAGAGGCAUAUGGAGGGGUUUCUGAAGCCAUUGCCUUGGCCGCUGGCAAGAAUCGACCCAUCAUGAAAUCCCGGGUCUGUGGAUCUGUUGAAAAUGUUCCAGAGGGCUUGACAUCUGGACCAUCCAAUCCACUCAAACCACUUACACUACAGUUCAAGAAGAAAGAUUCAGACCGGGAAAGUGUAUCCAGUGCAUCUAAAUAGGCUACAUCACCAUCCUCUGAACCAGAACUCCCUUUAUCCUCAACUCCCUCUUUAAAGUUCUCAAGUUUAGUAACAUUUUCAUCCAAAGAAGAAACAUUUCGAGAGUUAGAAAGGAUAUUUGCUGUUUGGGUCCCAGCAACAAUUGGAUCCUUAGAAACUUUAUCAGGAGGUCGCUGUUUAGUAUUCAAAAUCCUACCAGGUGGAAGCUUUGGGGUGGUGGGAGGGAUCUGUGGUUUGCUUUCAUCCUUGGGUCUUCCUGGAGUCUGCUCCCAUAUAAAAGGAACAGCUCCAGGAUUCCUCACUGGACCUGAUUUCAACUCUGAUUUGUAGGUAGGAAGAGGAAGUAUAUUGGAAAGGGAACUAUCAUUCUUCCUUUUGCUCUCAACUUCUGUGGAAGCCACUGUUGAUGAGAAUCUCCGAACAGAUAAAAGUGGUUGAUUAAAAUUCAAUUGCUUGUCUUCCAUCGGAUUAUUCAACAGCAUUAACUAACUUGUUCCUGCAAAACAUCAAUUCAAACUGAAACCAACUGGGCAUAUCGAGAAAAGACAAAGUGAUACCCAAAGCCAUAAUCUACAGAAUGUUACAAAUUACAGUUCUAUGCUAUUGCCGACACCCAGAAAAUGUAGAAUCUGAAAAAAUUGAAUCAUGUUUAAAAAAAAUUCCCAAGGCACUCUAAAAACCCAACUUUUCAACUAAAAUUAGGAUUAAUAUGAAAGAUAUAACCAAAAAAUGCUGCCCAUUUAUUCAAGACCACAAUAAAUUGAUCUAAACAUGGCAUGAAUGAGAAAAUCCUGAGUCUGAUUCACAUAUGGAAUGAGGUGAAGAAAACAUCACAAGGUUUAUAGUCUAAGAUUACUUUGAAUUUCUUUUCAAUCUCGUAUUGGAAAACCAAGUUUUUAUUGAGCAAAGAAGUGUUAUGAUGUCCUACAAAAAUUGAAUAAAUACCUUGAGAUAUACAGAAGAUUCUAAAAGAAUCAAUUGAGGUUCCAACGAUUUUUCCUGGUACUCAUUUCACAUGGGUGGCACCGUUUUAAUUUCAUACUUUCAUGGUGAUUUGGAUGCUGAACAGAAUUUGACUGGCUCUAUCCUUACUUUGCAUAACUAGUGAAGGUAAAACCACUCCGGAUGGGAACAUUAAAGAAAAUCGGAGAGAUUACCACAAAAGGAGUUCAAGAAACAAUUUUAAAUCUCCUUGAAGUGAUACAUUCACCACUUCAUCAUCACAAUUUUAAAUUUCAUUGUGGUGAAUUUCUCCUUUCAAAUGCCAUCCAAAAGUAGAAUGGAACCAUUCAAUUUCCAUGGAAGAUCCAAAUUCCAAACAAAACCCGCAAUAAACUACCUUACCCAUUUCACUUUAGUAGUCCCGUUCCAUCUUAAUCUACCAAUCAGUAUCCAAAUCCAAUCAAUCCCCCCUUCAUUCAGUUCCAGUCUUGAUUCCAAAUUUUCU